Molecule: long non-coding RNA, 57470 nt
Filed under: Triticum aestivum (bread wheat)
Lineage: Eukaryota; Viridiplantae; Streptophyta; Magnoliopsida; Poales; Poaceae
Description: long non-coding RNA (TAES_LNC010713)
Source: RNAcentral
AACUGAAUCAGGUUUCACACAAACAAUAUAAGCAUUCACCUCCAGGCAAUAUUUCUAGUACAUAUAUAAACUCAUUUCAUGGUACUUCUCAGUUCUUUCGGCAUCAACAUGUGCUACUACUGCCUUCCAUGCAACUGCUCUUAUCCUUGUCAUAACCUCGGUUAACACAGUUAGCUUUGCACGCAAUGUUGCCACUAGCUCGGUCUGGUGGCGAACAAUUGUCCACAGUUGUACACAGGUCAGUAUAUGUGCACAAAUCACAAUAGAGAUACCUCAAUCAACACAUAUAACCCAGCAGGAAAAUAUAUGUUUCUGUAUCCAAAUACGAGUGAAGAGAUUGUGAAAGAAAGAAGAAAACCAUACCUACAUAACGCCCUGCUGCAUGACAUGAGAAGACAGUGGUGGCCAUGGCUACAAGAGCUACCAAGCAUACGGCCUGUGUGUAGUUCCGCAUACCGGCCAUGGGAGAUAGUUAGCUAUUCCCUUUCUGCUAAUGUUGUUCGUUGAUUUUGCCAAAUUCAUGUUCUUUGCCUAGGUGCUUGUGUUUAUAUUGAGGGAAAGCUAGCAGUCUUGGAUCUUAAUACAAAAGAAAAACUUGGAGUAAAUUUAUUUCUUUCCUCCUAUAGUUUUGUAGUAAAUAAAUGCCUCUUUGUACAAAGGCUUGCUAUAAUCUCCACAAUAAAUUCUUGCCAUUUAAUCAUAUUAUGUAUUAAUGCAUCCUUAUCUGCAUUGUGUUAAUGCUGCCUUAUCCUCAUUAAUACAUUCUUGGUAUAUGAGCCUAUUAUACAUGUGGUUUAAUUUAUCCCAUGGUAGUUCUGAUUUACAGUGCCCUCACCCACACUCAUUGAUACAGAAAAAGUAGAGUUGUCCUCGCGAGUAGGGAUGAAAACAAAGCAAAAAUGCAUGAAACUAAGUGUUGCCACAUUCUUCUUUAUUUUUUCUGAAUGCAUAAUUGAAUAUAAAAACCAAGCAAAUGAAUAUAGAAACAUAUCGUAUUGGAAAUAGAUACAUACCAAAUAAGAUAUCUACACAAAUACAAAAGCUAUGGAUGGGUGGUUGACACAGUGCCAUCAGGACAGUAGUCUGGUGUCCCUAACACUUGGUUGCGCUAAUAGGCUACUCGAUUACUUGAUUUAGCAGUAGAACAUAUUAGGUUGAGUUUCUUUCAUAGAUAUUGACAAGGGCCUUCAUGACAAGGCCUAUUGGAGCCGUAAUGUCCACACUACGAUGGAAAGUUUUUUAUUUGGGGAAGGAUAAAUUCAAUUUCCAUAUCCAUUCCAAGAAAAAUUGAUGUUCUAUCCACUUAAAGAUUUAUGUUUUUGUUUCCUUAUUUGUGGAAAACAUAAAUAUUGAACAUUUAAGUGUCGAUUUCAUUCCUACUACUGAGAGUGCGCGUCUAUGACGGGAUAGAAAUAUUUGGUAUUUUUCCGAUCAAUAAAAAACACUUAAUGGAGUGUCACCUCAUCACAAUGAAAGGGGUAAUCGUUAUGAAAAUCUUACAUGAUUAAUAGUUAUGAAAAAUCCAGUUCGUAGGUUCGUCAUGGUCGAGUAACAUGACCUCCAGAGCAGGAUUACCGUACCACUCUGGUGUGGAUCUUACUCUGGUUGACCUACGAGGUUCGGUAGUAACUUAAUCAGAAGUUUCAUGAUCAUCAUCAUUAGCUUCCUCACUUACUGGUGUAGGAAUCAUUGGAACUGAUUUCAGUGAUGAACUAAUUUCCAAUAAAGGAGCAGGUACAAUUACCUCAUCAAGUUCUACUUUCCUCCCACUCACUUCUUUCGAGAGAAAUUGCUUCUCUAGAAAGGAUCCAUUCUUAGCAACGAAUAUCUUGCCUUCGAAUCUAUGAUAGAAGGUGUACCCAACAGUAUCCUUUGGGUUUCCUUUAAAGACACAUUUCUCCGAUUUGGGUUCGAUCUUAUCAGGUUGAAGAUUUUUUCACAUAAGCAUCGCAGCCCCAAACUUUAAGAAACGACAACUUGGGUUUCUUGCCAAACCAUGGUUCAUAAGGUGUCGUCUCAACGAAUUUAGAUAGUGCCCUAUUUAACGUGAAUGCAGUUGUCUCUAAAGCAUAACCCCAAAAUGAUAGUGGUAAAUCAGUAAGAGACAUCGUAGAUCGCGCCAUAUCUAGUAAAGUAUGAUUACAACGUUUGGAUACACCAUUACGAUGUGGUUUUCUGGGUGGCGUGAGUUGUGAAACUAUUCCGCAUUCUUUCAAAUGAAGACCAAACUCGUAACUCAAAUAUUCUCCUCCAUAAUCAGAUCGUAGAAACUUUAUUUUCUUGUUACGAUGAUUUCCACUUCACUCUGAAAUUCUUUGAACUUUUCAAAUGUUUCAGACUUAUGUUUCAUUAAGUAUGAUUUCCAAUAACUCUGUUGCUCGCUCCAUUGUUCCGGAGAACUGAGUUUUAGUCAUCUUACACAUGAGGCAUGGUUCGCAAGUACCAAGUGAUUUAUAAUCAAGUGAUUCCAUAUGUCCAUCAGAAUGGAGUUUCUUCAUGCGCUUUACACCAAUAUGACCCAAACGGCAGUGCCCCAAAUAAGUUGCACUAUCAUUAUCAACUCUGCAUCUUUUGGAUUCAAUACUAUGAUCAUGUGUAUCACUGCUAUCAAGAAUUAGUAAAAAUGGACCACUCAUAAAGGGUGCAUGACCAUAAAAGAAAUUACUCAUAUAAAUAGAACAACCAUUAUUCUUUGAUUUCAAUGAAUAACUGUCUCGCAUCAAACAAGAUCCAGAUAUAAUAUUCAUGCUCAACGCUGGCACCAAAUAACAAUUAUUUAGGUCUAAAACUAAUCCGAAAGGUAGAUGUAGAGGUAGAGUGCUGACGGCGAUCACAUCGACUUUGGAACCAUUUCCCAUGUGCAUCGUCACCUCGUCCUUAGCCAAUCUUCGCUUAAUCCGUAGCCCUUGUUUCGAGUUGCAAAUAUUAGCAACAGAACCAGUAUCAAAUACCCAGGCGCUACUGCGAGCAUUAGUAAGGUACACAUCAAUAACAUGUAUAUCAAAUAUACCUUUCGCUUUGCCAUCCUUCUUUUCUGCCAAAUACUUGGGGCAGUUCCGCUUCCAGUGACCAGUCCCUUUGCAGUAGAAGCACUUAGUUCUAGGCUUAGGUCCUGACUUGGGCUUCUUCACUUGAGUAGCAACUGGCUUGCUGUGCUUCUUGAAGUUCCCCUUCCUCCCUUUACCCUUUUUCUUGAAACUGGUGGUCUUGUUGACCAUCAAACAAUUGCUUGGCUUGUCAUCGAGGUUGUGCAUGAUUUAAAUAUUUUGUGUGAUGAAGAUAGAUCAUAGCUAGACUAUAUGAUUUUGUAGGGACGACUUUCUUUGGCCAUGUUAUUUUGAGAAGACAUGAUUGAUUUGUUUGUAUGCUUGAAGUAUUAUUAUUUUCAUGUCAAUAUUAAACUUUUGUCUUGAAUCUUAUGGAUCUGAAUAUUAAUGCCACAAUAAAGAGAAUUACUUGGAUAAAUAUGUUAGGUAGCAUUCCACAUCAAAAAUUCUGUUUUUACCAUUAACCUAUUCGAGGACGAGAAGGAAUUAAGCUUGGGGAUGCUGAUACGUCUCCAACGUAUCUAUAAUUUUUUUAUUGUUCCAUGCUAUUAUAUUAUCUGUUUUGGAUGUUUAUGUGCUUUAUUAUACACUUUAAUAUUAUUUUUGGGACUAACCUAUUAACCGGAGGCCCAGCCCAAAUUGUUGUUUUCUUGCCUAUUUCUGUGUUUCGAAGAAAAGGAAUAUCAAACAGAGUCCAAACGGAAUGAAACCUUCGGGAGAGUUAUUUUUGGAAUGGAAGCAAUCCAGGAGACUUGGAGUAUACGCCAGGGAAGUUCGAGAUGGCCAUGAGGCAGGGAGGCGCGCCUGCCCCCCUAGGCGUGCCCCCACCCUCGUAGGCCCCUCGUGGCUCCCUUGACCGACUUCUUUGGCCUAUAUAUCAGGAGUUCUGCCGCCAGAAGCCUCUGUAGCCACCGAAAACCAAUCUAGACCCGUUCCAGCACCCUGCCGGAGGGGGGAAUCCCUCUCCGGUGGCCAUCUUCAUCAUCCCGGCGCACUCCAUGACGAGGAGGGAGUAGUUCACCCUCGGGGCUGAUGGUAUGUACCAGUAGCUAUGUGUUUGAUCUCUCUCUCUCUCUCUCUCUCGUGUUCUUGAGGUGGUACAAUCUUGAUGUAUCAUGAGCUUUGCUAUUAUAGUUGGAUCUUAUGAUGUUUCUCCCCCUCUACUCUCUUGUAAUGGUUUGAGUUUUCCCUUUGAAGUUACCUUAUCAGAUUCAGUCUUUAAGGAUUUGAGAACAAUUGAUGUAUGUCUUGCAUGUGCUUAUCCGUAGUGACAAUGGGAUAUCACGUGAUCCACUUGAUGUAUGUUUUGGUGAUCAACUUGCGAGUUUCGUGACCUCGUGAACUUAUGCAUAGGGGUUGGCACACGUUUCUGUCUUGACUCUCCGGUAGAAACUUUGGGGCACUCUUUGAAGUUCUUUGUGUUGGUUGAAUAGAUGAAUCUGAGAUUGUGUGAUGCAUAUCGUAUAAUCAUACCCACGGAUACUUGAGGUCACAUUGGAGUAUCUAGGUGACAUUAGGGUUUUGGUUGAUUUGUGGCUUAAGGUGUUAUUCUAGUACGAACUCUAUGAUAGAUUGAACAGAAAGAAUAGCUUCAUGUUAUUCUACUACGGACUCUUGAAUAGAUCGAUUAGAAAGGAUAACUUUGAGGUGGUUUCGUACCCUACCAUAAUCUCUUCGUUUUUUCUCCGCUGUUAGUGACUUUGUAGUGACUCUUUGUUGCAUGUUGACGGAUAGUUAUAUGAUCCAAUUAUGUUAUUAUUGUUGAGGGAACUUGCACUAGUGAAAGUAUGAACCCUAGGCCUUGUUUCAACUCAUUGCAAUACCGUUUGUGCUAACUUUUAUCAUUAGUUGCCUUGCUGUUUUUAUAUUUUUCAGAUUACAAAAACCUAUAUCUAUCAUCCAUAUUGCACUUGUAUCACCAUAUCUUCACCAAACUAGUGCACCUAUACAAUUUACUAUUGUACUGGGUGUGUUGGGGACGCAAGAGACUCUUUGUUAUUUGGUUGCAGGGUUGUUUGAGAAAGACCAUCUUCAUCUUACGCCUCCCACAUAUUGAUAAACCUUAGGUCAUCCACUUGAGGGAAAUUUGCUACUGUCCUACAAACCUCUGCACUUGGAGGCCCAACAACGUCUACAAGAAGAAGGUUGUGUAGUGGACAUCAGGAGCCCAUAGAGUUUUCCUUUGUUGCACCAACCUGGAGUCUAGGAAAGAGCAUGGACGCUCACAUUGCCAUGGGACGCAUCGGCGAAGUUUACCACAAGGAUCUUAAGGACACCAUAUACUAGAUAUGUGGACACCGAGAUGAGCAAUGGGAGAUGAUCAGCACCAGGAGGGACAGGUCCAUUGCAGCCUACAUCCAGGAGUUAAACCAACAGAUUCGUCGUCGGGAGAACCAGAUGUGCGCCAGCAUGAUGGACCUGAAGAAGGUGAUGACUAGGAACAUGGAGCUAGAAGAGGAACUCAAGUCUACACGCGAUGGAUAUGAAUAUGAAAUUGCAGUACUACUGGAGAAGAAUGAAGAUCUGAAGAAGAGGCUAGGAGUAUUCAUGGGAGACCCUGCGCCAGCAGGUGACGGCCAUCCCGAAGACUACAUCAUCAUCGAUGACACCGACACCGACCCCGACAGUGAUGAUGACUAUGAAGACGAAGCUAGAGCAGAUAUCAUGGAGUCUUCUUACAAUCAAAAUUUUUAGUCGACCACCAUAUUAUCAGUAGUAUUCCCCCAUAGUAGUAGUCUGAGUAUUUUGUAACGGUAGCAAGAUCGACUGUAUGCCCUUGUUUGAAUUGAGUGGUGUGAUAUGAUUGUGUUUGUAUCAUGUGCAUAUGAGUAGUGAUUUUCUCCUCAGACCACACUCAAUUCUAAUCUCUCCUCUCUAAAACCUAUCAGAUGCCUCCGAGAUGUGACCCCGGAUUUGUCUUCCCAUCGGAGCUCACCCAGUUGAUCAAGCAGCAGAAUUCCUUGAUGCAGCUACUAGUCCAGAACCAAGGCAACAACGACAACAAUAACAACCCACCGCCACCACCUGCAGUAGACAACUUAGCCCGUUUUCUGAGGUUGAAUCUGCUGGUGUUUUCAGUAGCAUCGAGCUAAUAGUUGCUAAUGACUGGCUCCGCAGGAUUCGAAUGGAUCUAACCACCACAGGUUGCAUAGAUGCUAGGAAGGUGCGCUUUGCCACACAUCAAUUAGAUGGACCAGCAGCCUCAUGGUGGGAGAAUUACACAACCACUUUUCCCAUAGCCAAUGUCACGUGGGAUUAGUUUCAGCAAUCUUUCCGUACUACGGGCCCAUGUCUCAAAUGGAUCAAUGAGUAUGAAGAAGCGUGAGUUUCGCAACUUACGCCAUGGAAAUCGUACUGUGUUGUAGUACGUGGAUGAGUUUAGUAAGUUAGCUCAUUAUGCCCCGGACGAUGUGGACACAGAUGCCGUGAAGCAGAAGAAGUUUAUGGAAGGGCUGAAUGAUGAGCUGAGCAUGCAGUUGAUGGUGGCAACAUUCAAUAACUAGCAGGAUUUGGUAGAUAGGGCCCUUAUGAUUGAAGGCAAGCAGCAACAGAUAGAGAGCCGCAAAAGGAAGUAUGGACAAGGGAAGUAUAAUUCUAGAGCUCAGCAGAAACCCCGUUUUACCCCGAACUCGGGAGGACACACUCAUAACCAUUGAGGCCAUACCCAUAAUGGAGGGAGUUUGCAUAACCAUUGUGUCCCUAAGAAUGGGAAUGGGAAUGGAGGGAGCAACGGACAGAACCGUUCCAACCCAGCAACACGCACCAGGAAGGAUCUAAGUCACAUUACUUGUUUCAAGUGCGGGAAGACUGGACACUAUGCCACUGAAUGUCCUGAAGCAAAGAUUGGAAAUGGCAAUGGAAGCUCAGGGAAGAAGCCAAACCCUUUCACGAGAGGUCAAGUGAACCACAUCAAUGUGGAGGAGGUUGAAGAACGGCCUGAUGAGGUGAUCGGUAAGUUUUUGAUUAAGUCGUUUACCGGUCUUGUUCUUUUUGACACUGGUGCAUCACAUUCAUACAUAUCAAGGGUAUUUGUGGACAAGUUUAAGUUGCCAACCUUAGCCCUUAGGUCACCCAUGUUAGUAAGCUUUCCAUGAGCAGAGUAUAUGGCCAACCGAUGGUGUGAUCGGCUACCCCUAACUAUUGGUAGCCACGUUUUCCCCUCAGACCUAAUAAUUUUGGAGUCCCAAAGAUUGGAUAUAAUAUUAGGCAUGGAUUGGUUAUCGAAGUAUGGAGGAAACAUCGAUUGUGCUAGUAAGUCAAUUUUACUCACCACCCUGGAGGGAAAGAGGAUCAAGUAGGUGUCUAGGCAUGCGCCAAGGAGGACCCAAGUGAAUUCUCUCUCGGGAGUUGUUCAGGAAGAAGUGCCUAUUGUGAAGGAUUACCUGGAUGUAUUUCCAGAGGAGCUACCAGGCAUGCCGCCAGAUCGAGACAUGGAAUUUUUUGAUAGAGCUCUUGCCAGGCACCGGACCAAUAUCGAAGAGACCGUAUCGGAUGCCCGCAAAUGAUCUGGAGGAAAUUAAGAAGCAGAUUAAGGAGUUAUUGGAUACGGGUUAUAUCUGACCAAGUUCAUCACCGUGGGGAACCCCGGUGCUCUUAGUUGAGAAGAAGGAUGGAUCUUUGAGAAUGGUUGUUGAUUAUCGGGCAUUGAAUGAAGUGACGAUCAAGAACAAAUACUCACUCCCGAUGAUCAAUGAUCUAUUUGACCAGUUGCAAGGAGCUAAAGUAUUCUCCAAGAUUGACCUUCGAUCAGGAUACCACCAGCUAAAGAUCCGAGAAUAGGAUAUACCUAGGCCAACUUUUACCACAAGGUACGGGCUAUAUGAGUACACGGUCAUGUCAUUUGGAUUGACUAAUGCCCCCGCCUAUUUUAUGAGUAUGAUGAACAAUGUAUUCAUGGAGUUUUUGGAUAAGUUUGUUGUGGUGUUCAUUGAUGACAUUUUGGUGUACUCGAAUAAUGAAGAGGAACACAAGGAACACUUGCGCUUAGUUCUCGAGAAGCUCAGGGAACAUCAGCUAUAUGCCAAGUUCAGCAAGUGUGAGUUUUGGUUGAAGGAAGUUGGAUUUCUUGGACAUGUUAUAUCAGGAGAAGGUAUAGCCGUUGAUCCUACGAAGGUUCAGUCUGUCACUGAGUGGUUGGCACCCACCUUAGUUGGAGAGAUCCGCAGGUUUCUGGGACUCGCAGGAUAUUAAAGGAGGUUCAUUGAGAAUUUCUCCAAGAUUGCGAAACCUAUGACAGAGUUGUUGAAGAAGGACACCAAGUUCAAAUGGACUGCGGAUUGUGAGGCAAGUUUUCAGGAGUUAAAGAAACAUUUGGUUAUAGCCCCAGUGCUGAUUCUUCCGGAUAUACGCGAGGAUUUCCAAGUUUAUUGUGACGCUUCUCAUUUGGGACUUGGAGGUGUACUUAUGCAAGACGGAAUAGUUGUUUCAUAUGCCUCACGGCAGCUUUGACAUCACGAGUUGAAUUAUGCCACACAUUAUUUGGAGUUAGAAGCCGUAGUGCAUGCGCUCAAGACGUGGAUACAUUUUCUGAUUGGAAAUAGAUGUGAUUUGUACACGGAUCACAAUAUUUUGAAGUACAUUUUGACGCAGAAGGAGUUGAAUCUCAUGCAGAGGAGAUGGUUGGAGCUCAUAAAGGAUUACGAUAUGAAGUUGCAUUAUCAUCCAGGAAAGGCCAAUGUCUUAGCAGACGCUUUGAGCUGCAAGAGUUAUGCCAAUACGCUCGUAAGCGGAGGAUUACCGCAGGAGUUAGUAGAAGAUCUCAAGGAACUUCGUUUCGAGAUAGUUCCAAGAGGUUUUGUUGCAACAAUGGAGGUUUAGUCUACAUUAUUGGGAAAGAUUCAAGAAGCUCAGAAGGAUGAUAAGGAAAUUGCUGAGACUAAGGAGAAGAUGAGCAAAGGAAAAGCCAAAGAUUUUUGUGAGGAUGAACAUGAGGCUUUAUGGUUUGAAGAUCGUGUAUACGUGCCCAAUAAUGCGGAGAUCAGGAAGUUAAUACUUCAGGAAGCUCAUGACUCGCCAUACUCGAUUCAACCCAGAAACACCAAGAUGUAUUUGGAUUUGAAGGAGCAUUUCUGGUGGACAGGUAUGAAGAAGGAUAUUGCCAAGUAUGUAGCAGUAUGCGAUGUGUGUCAGAGAGUGAAGGCAGAUCAUCAGAAGCCAGCCGGAUUAUUACAGCCCAUGCCGAUACCCGAUUGCAAGUGGGACAAGAUUGGCAUGGAUUUCAUCACCGGAUUACCCAUGACCUGAUCAGGAUAUGAUUCCAUCUGGGUAGUAGUUGAUCGCCUGACCAAGGUAGCUCACUUUAUCCCAUUGAAAUCCACCUAUACAAGCGCGUGGUUGGCCAAGAUAUAUAUGACCAGGAUCGUAUGUCUGCAUGGAGUUCCAAGGACCAUCGUAUCAGAUAGAGGGACACAGUUUACCUCGAAGUUUUGGAAUCAAUUGCACCAGACUUUGGGUACUAGGCUGGAGUUCAGUACAGCCUUUCAUCCGCAGACAGAUGGACAGACCGAGAGAUUCAAUCAGAUUCUAGAGGACAUGUUGAGAGCUUGUGUGCUAGAUUAGAGAUCUGGUUGGGAUGAUAAUUUACCUUACGCAGAGUUCUCAUAUAACAACAGUUAUCAGGCUAAUUUGAUGAUGUCACCUUUUGAAGCCUUGUAUGGAAGGAGAUGCAGGACACCAUUAAUGUGGGAUGAAGUUGGAGACCAUUAGUUGUUUGGACGGGAUUUGAUCAAAGAGUCCGAAUAGAAGGUUAAGUUGAUUCGAGAUAGACUGAAGGUAGUUCAGUCCAGGCAGAAGAGUUAUGCCGACAAUAACACAAGGAUGUAGUCUAUGAAAUAGGAGAUAGAGCAUAUCUUUGUGUGUUGCCACUCCGAGGAGUUAAAAGGUUUGGAGUUAAGGGAAAUUUAGCCCCGAGAUUUGUAGAACCAUACCGAGUUCUGGAACGUAUGGGAGAGGUUGCCCACAAAUUGGAGUUACCCGAAGGAUUGUCAGGAGUUCAUGAUGUGUUUCACGUUUCCCAGUUGAAGAAGUGCCAUGAUGAGAUGAUCGAUAUUCCCCUAAGAGAUACAGUGCCUCUGGAAGCAAUUCUGUUGGAGAGUGAUCUAACCUACGAGGAGAAACCUGUCAAGAUUCUUGAGUUUGCCAGCCGAGUUACCCGCAACAAAGUUAUCAAGUUUUGCAAAGUUCAGUGGAGCCACCAUACCGAGGAUGAAGCCACCUGGGAGCGAGAAGAAGACCUACGGAAAGACCACCCACACCUAUUUUCUAGCCAACCCGAAUCUCGAGGGAAAGAUUCAUCUUAAGGAGGGUAGGUUUGUAACAUCCCAAUUUUCAAUUUGGAUGUUAUACAUAGGUCAUCAUAUGCAUAUCAUAUUUUAUUUGCAUAUUUGGUUGUGAUCCUAGAAAUCUUAAGCAACUCAAGGACUCAAGGAGAGAGUUGGAGAUUUCAUACAUUUUCAUAUUUGAGUUUUUCUCAAAUUUGAAAAGAGGAUCCAUUUGGUUUUAAUAUUUUUCUCUCUAAUUAUUUCCAAUAUUUAAAUUAAAAGAGAGAAGAUAAUAAGACUUCUUCAAAAAGAGAGGAAUAUUGGAGGAGAAAUUUUAAAAUCAAAUUUAUAUUUUAUUUCGUUUUUAUUUGAUAUUUUAUUUGAAUUAGAAAAGUAUGCAUUUUGGGAAAUAGCAUUUUUAGCACAGAAAAAUGUUGACUUCGUUCUAAAUAAUAGGUUUAGACGGAGAAAAUUGUUUUUGGCAUUUUUUAGAAUUUUUUUAUAUUUUUUAGGAUUUUAUUCAGGCGGAAUUUUAUUUAAUAAAAAAUCCUUCCCUCGCCCAACUGGGCCGAAGGCCUAGCCGAGCGACCCAGCAGCCCACCUCGCGGCCGGCUUCCUCUUGCGCGGGGAGGAGACCCGCCGCCGCAUGCCGCCGAGGGGAGUCCGAGCCGGACUCCACCCCGCGCCGCCCCCUCGCCCAAGGCUGACCCCCUGGCCUUUAUAACCACCGCCACCGCCUCCUCCCUCACCCCGAGCCGACGCACGGCCACCGCCGAGCCGCGCCGUUGCCUCUUUUGCGCCUUCGAGCCGUGGCGCUGCCGGCAGCUGCCGCCGCGCCGCCUCACCUGCGCCGCCGCCUUUCCUCGUCUUUGAUGGAGCUCUUGUAUUCAAGCCCUCGAGGCCCCUGGCUUAUAAUAUGAUGCUUGUAUGACUUAUUUUAUUUGUAGAGUUGUGUUGUGAUAUCUUCCCGUGAGUCCCUGAUCUUGAUCAUACACAUUUGCGUGUAUGAUUAGUGUACGGUCAAAUCGGGGGCGUCACAAUAUGCCUCCAAGACGUGACCCCGGAUUUUUCUUCCCACCAGAGCUCACCCAGUUGAUCCAGCAGCAGAAUGCCUCGAUGCAGCUACUAGUCCAGUACCAAAGCGACACCAACAACAACAGUAACAACCCACCGCCACCACCUCCAGUAGACAAAUUAGCCUGCUUUCUGAGGUUGAAUCCGCCGGUGUUUUCCAGUUGCACCAAGCCAAUAGUUGCUGCUGACUGGCUCCGCAGGAUUCGAAGGGAUCUGACCACCGCAGGUUGCACAUAUGCUAAGAAGGUGCGCUUUGCCACACACCAAUUGGAUGGACCAGCAGCCUCAUGGUGGGAUAAUUACACAACCACUUUUCCCAUAGCCAAUGUCACAUGGGAUCAGUUUCAGCAAGCUUUCCGUACCGCCCAUGUCUCAACUGGAGCAAUGAGUAUGAAGAAGCGUGAGUUUCGCAACUUACACCGGGGAAAUCAUACUAUGGGGCAGUACGUGGAUGAGUUUAGUAAGUUAGCUCGUUAUGCCCCGGACGAUGUGGCCACAGAUGCCGCGAAGCAGGAGAAGUUUAUGGAAGGGCUGAUUGAUGAGCUGAGCAUGCAGUUGAUGGUGGCAACAUUCAAUAACUACCAAGAUUUGGUAGAUAGGGCCCUUAUGAUUGAAGGUAAGCAACAACAGAUAGAGAGUCACAAAAGGAAGCAUGGGCAAGGGAAGUAUAAUUCUAGAGCUCACCAGAAGCCCCGUUUUACCCCGAACUUGGGAGGACACACUCAUAACCAUGGAGGCCAUACCCAUAAUGGAGGUAGUUCGCAUAACCACAGUUGCCCUAAGAAUGGGAAUGGGAAUGGAGGAAGCAACGGACAUAACCGUUCCAACCCAGCAACUCCCGCCAGGAAGGAUCUAAGUCACAUUACUUGUUUCAAGUACGGGAAGACUGGACACUACGCCCUGAAGCAAAGAAUGGAAAUGGCAAUGGAAGCUCAGGGAAGAAGCCAAACCCUUUCACCAGAGGUCAAGUGAACCACAUCAACGUGGAGGAGGUUUAAGAACAGCCUGAUGAAGUGACCGGUAAGUUUUUGAUUAAGUCAUUUAUCGCUCUCGUUCUUUUUGAUACUGGUGCAUCGCAUUCAUACAUAUCAAGGGGAUUUGUGGACAAGUUUAAGUUGCCAACCUUAGCCCUUACGUCACCCAUGUUAGUAAUCUCGCCAUGAGCAGAGUAUAUGGCCAGCCGAUGGUGAGAUCGGUUACCCCUAACCAUUGGUAGCCACAUUUUCCCCUUAGACCUAAUAAUAUUUGAGUCCCAAGGACUGGAUAUAAUAUUAGGCAUGGAUUGGUUAUCGAAGUAUGGAGGAAACAUCGAUUGUGCUAGUAAGUCAAUUUUAUUCACCACCCCGGAGGGAAAGAGGAUCAAGUAUAUGUCUAGGCAUGCGCCAAGGAGGACCCAAGUGAAUUCUCUCUCGGGAGUUGUUCAGGAAAAAGUGCCUAUUGUUAAUGAUUACCCGGAUGUAUUUCCAAAGGAGCUACAAGGCAUCUCGCCAGAUCGAGACAUGGAAUUUUUGAUAGAGUUGUUGCCAGGCACCGGACCAAUAUUUCCAAGGACUGGAUAGAGUUGUUGCCCGCAAAUGAUCUAGAGGAAAUUAGGAAGAAUAUUAAGGAGUUAUUGGAGAAGGGUUAUAUCCGCCCAAGUUCAUCACCGUGGGGAGCCCCGGUGAUCUUAGUUAAGAAGAAGGGUGGAUCUUUGAGAAUGGUUGUUGAUUAUCGGGCAUUGAAUGAAGUGACGAUCAAGAAGAAAUACCCACUUCCGAUGAUCAAUGAUCUAUUUGACCAGUUCCAAGGAGCUAAAGUAUUCUCCAAGAUCGAUCUUCGAUCAGGAUACCAUCAGCUGAAGAUCCGAGAACAUGAUAUACCUAAGACAGCUUUUACCACAAGGUACGGGCUAUAUGAGUACACAGUCAUCUCAUUUGGACUGACUAAUGCCCCUCCCUAUUUUAUGAGUAUGAUGAACAAGGUGUUCAUGGAGUUUUUGGAUAAGUUUGUUGUGGUGUUCAUUGAUGAUAUUUUGGUGUACUCGAAUAAUGAAGAGGAACAGAAGGAACACUUGCGCUUAGUUCUCGAGAAGCUUAGAGAACAUCAGCUAUAUGCCAAGUUCAACAAGUGUGAGUUUUGGUUGAAGGAAGUUGGAUUUCUUGGACAUGUUAUAUCAGGAGAAGGUAUAGCCAUUGAUCCUACAAAGGUUCAGUCUGUCACUGAGUGGUUGGCACCCACCUCAGUUGGAGAGAUCCAUAGUUUUCUGGGACUUGCAGGAUAUUACAGGAGGUUCAUUGAGAAACCUAUGACAGAGUUGUCGAAGAAGGACACCAAGUUUAAAUGGACCGAAGAUUGUGAGGCCAGUUUUCAGGAGUUGAAUAAACGUUAGGUUACAGCCCUAGUGCUGAUUCUUCCGGAUAUAUGCAAGAAUUUCCAAGUUUAUUGCAACACUUCUCGUUUGGGACUUGGAGGUGUACUUAUGCAAGACGGAAGAGUUGUUUCAUAUGCCUCAUGGCAGCUUCGACCUCACGAGUUGAAUUAUGCCACACAUGAUUUGGAGUUAGCAGCCGUAGUGCAUGCGCUCAAGACCUGGAGACAUUUUCUGAUUGGAAAUAUAUGUGAUGUGUACACGGAUCACAAGAUUUUGAAGUACAUUUUCAUGCAGAAGGAGUUGAAUCUCAAGCAGAGGAGAUGGUUGGAGCUCAUAAAGGAUUAUGAUAUGAAGUUGCAUUAUCAUCCAGGAAAGGCCAAUGUCGCUGCCGACGCUUUGAGCCGCAAUUUUAAGCGCAGGAUUACCGCAGGAGUUAGUAGAUGAUCUGAAGGAACUUCGUUUGAAGAUAGUUCCAUGUAACAUCCCAAAUUUUCAAUUUGGAAUGUUAUACAUUAGAUCAUCAUGCAUAUCAUAUUUUCAUGCAUUUUGGUUGAUCCUAGAAAUUUCACGCAACUCAAGGACCUUCGGAGAGAGUUGGAGAUUUCGUUAUUUUCAUAUUUGAGAGUUUUCUCAAAUUUGAAAAGAAGAUCAUUUGAUUUAUUUAUUUCAUCUUCAAUUAUUUUUCCAAUAUCAAAAAAAUGAGAGAGGGAAUAAUAUGACUUUCCCAAAGUUAGGAGAAAUGAAGAUUUAAUGAAUAAGUCAAAUUUUGGAUUUUCCGGUGUUUAUUCGCAUUUUAUUUGGAUAGGGAAAAAUGUGUGUUUUCAAAAAUUGCAUUCUAGGUCCGGAGUAAAGUUCUUUUUGUUCGACUCAUUUUUAGGAGUCGGGGAAAAUUUACUUUAGAGAUUUUGGAGUUCGUUUAGAUUUUCUUUCUUUUGUUUUUCUGCACGCGAAUCCAGUUAAAAAAAGAAAGGACCAAGGCCAGCCGGGCCAAAGGCCCAGCCAGCCGGCCGCCUCCCCAGCCAGCGCGCGCGCCAGGCGCAGCGCCAAGCCGCCGCCUCCCUCGCUCUAGGCCGAGUCCCAGAGGGACUCUAGGCCGGUUAGCCCCCCCUUUCCUUGUUUUGUUUUCCCUCUUUUGCUUGCCCCCUACCCCAAGUAAUCCCCUCCCCACCUAUAUAAAUACACCCCAAACCCCCCCUCUCCUCACAUCAAUCCCAAGCCCCUCUCCUCCUUAGCCGCGCCCCACCCCACGCCCCUCACCCGCCGCCGCCGCCCUAUAGCCGCCGCCGCCGCCCUAUAGCCGCCGCCGCCGCCCUAUAGCCGCCGUCGCCGCCGUUCGCCGGAGCCUCGCCGAGGUUGUCCCGCGCCGCGUCUCUUUUUCUCCCCUCGGUUCAGUUCUUCUUCUAAACCGUUCCGGUUCUUUCUUAACCAUUCCGGUUUUCUUUCGUUCUUUGUUUCGGUUUUCUUUUCCGAAAACCCUAGAUCGGUUUUCGUUCUUCUUUCAGACCGUUCGUCUCAACGAACGUGAUCACUGAUUAUUCCCCGGUUAACGACGCCCGUUCGUUUAAUCGUUCUUCUUUUUCUUUUCGUCGGAUUUAUUCCGCGAUCGCGAUCUCAGAUCCGAUCUUCGUUCUAGUCUUUCUUCUCGCUCAUUUAUCGGAAUCAGGUGAUUCAAGCGCCUGGAGUUUCAUUUCGAAACCGCCGUUCCGUCUAAUCAACUUAAACAAGUUUUUGCCCCGGUAAAAUUUGACCUAGUUUCAACUUGCUAGAACCGAGUUGUUUUCUUCCGCCGCUUGUUUUCCAUUUCUUUGUUCGGUUCGUUCUUUCUUUGCAACCGGAGUUCUUAAGUUGAACCUUCUGGUUCGUUCUCUUGUUCGAGUUUUACCUGUGCAUUAGAUGAGUACUUAUUGUGCGCUUGUUAUUUGUCUGCGAUAGAUCACCCAGAUUGCGCCGCCUGGUACUUCGAUUCCCUAAGUCUCGCGGAUCAUCAGCAAGGCAAGUAACACUUUGAUCAUACCUUUUCUACAACCCAGUUUUAUUGCAUUAGAUCAAUCCUCUCACAUUGCAUGAUUAGGAUCUAAUUAAACUGUGGGAUGGGAAGUAGAUGAGGUAGUACCUAUCACCUGUAUUAUUAUGAAACCUUUGGGAGUUACUUCUACGUUGCUUAUUAUGCCAUGCUAUGCUAGUAGACGUGGAUUGGGUGAGUGAUAUCCAUGACAGAUGUGAGUUGAUAAUUUUAAUGGUUUAUCUAAGGUGGCAACUUAAACACACAUCUAGGUGGAUUGAGGCACCUGAUGUCUAUCAGGACUUGCCUGUAUUUUUUGGACCGCCACCCAGGCUCAAAUGGAUCAUAAGAUAAUUCAUGCUAGAAACUUCCGUGUGCAGCCACAUGCUACUAUGGGCUCUGGCAUAGUUGACUAAGUUGUGCGAACUCUUACGGGGUGGACUAGCAGAUGUAGGGGUUGUAGGUGGUACGGUCUACCCCACAUGUAAGGUGCUAGCGCUUCUGAAAGACUAUGUCUCGGUCAUCCGUUUCUCAAACACCAUGUAGUGCAUGAAAACAAACGGAGGCGAUCGAGUCAUGUGGGGAAAAGUGCGCAAACCUCUGCAGAGUGUACAAACAAAUCAUGAUUAGCCGUGUCCCCGGUUAUGGACAACUUGAGUAUCUAGUACUUGAAUAUCAUGUGAAUCUCAUCAUGUUACUUAUAAUUAAUGUUGUUGGGUUUUAAUUGUUCACUUAAUUGGGAUCGGAAUGCUGUCAGCCAUUCUCGAUGUUUAACAACUACCAUGAUAGUUAAAUAAAUUUAUUCCUUUGCAGUAGGGAAAAACUGGCUUUACGCAAAACUGUAACCAUAGAGCUUUCCACCAACCAUAUAUGCAUGUAGUAUAGCUGUUUCUUUCCAUUACUCUCUAUGUGUUACAUUGCCAGCAUAUUCCAUGUGCUAACCCGUUUUCGGGCUACAACUUUCAUGUUGCAGACUUUUCAGACGACGAGUAAGGUGCUUUUAGGUCAUGGUUCUAUACUCAGUGAUGUCGUUGGAGUUGAUGGACCCAUUUAUCUUCCGAGUCUUCCGCUGUUAUCGACAUUAGAUGGCCUUAAGCCAUACUUAUUGUAAUAAGUUCUCUUUGAGACAACAAUGUAAUAAGUGUGUGAUUGCCACUCUGCUAUAAAUCCUUCGAUGUACUGUGUGGUGUCAGCAUUACUGAUCCAGGGAUGACACCUGAGCACAGAGCACUUGAUCCAUUCGGGUCGGGUCGCUACAGAGAUGGUAUCAAAGCACACGCUGACUGUAGGACACGACCACUAAGUUAAAGCCAUAGAUCACCAUUCUCUUCUCAUUUUCUAACUCGUCAUCUUUUCUACUCUUUUAGGAUGACGAACGCGAAGAUUAAGUACGCUCAACCGGAUGAAGGCACACCUUUUGGAUUUCACCUCAAGGAAGUCACCAAGUACCUGAAUAUCGGAUUACCAAGCUUCACGGGAACCUUCAAUGCCACUCUGCCUGAAGAGGAGCGCUGGAAGAUUCAAGCUCACAUUCCGGGAAGAACAUUCGCGCCAAUCACGAAGCCUAUAGAUAGUGUUUUCAAUGCACCAACCUGGAGUCUGGGAAAGAGCAUGGCAGCUCAUAGCACCAUAGGACGCAUUGGAGAAGUUUAUCAAGAAGACCUCAAGGACACUAUCUACCAGAUUUGCGGACGCCGAGAUGAACAAUGGGAGUUAGUCAGCACCAAGAAGGAUAGAUCCAUUGCAUCUUUCAUCCAGGAGUUAAACCAGCACAUUCGACGCCACGAGAAUCAGAUGUGCAAUGAUAUGAUAGAGUUGAAGAAUGCAAAGGCAAGGAUCAUCGAGCUAGAAGGAGAACUUAAGUCUACACGCAAGGACUACAUGGACGAGAUCGUAGCUCUAGCAAGACACAGUGGCGAUCUUAAGCAGGAGAUUGAAGAACUCAAGAGGAAGUUAGCAUCAAAGGAGGUGGACGAGUACGUCGCAUGUCCGGACAACUACAUCAUCAUCGACGACACCGAUUCGGAUCCAAGUGAACCCGACUUUGAAGACGAAGCUGGAGCAGAUAUCAUGGAGUCUUCCACCGGUUCAAAUUUCUAGAUGACCACCAAAUAGUAGUAGUAUUCCCCCAUGUAAACAUUAUAGUUCGAGCACUUUUGCGAUAGUUUUAGACCGACUAUAAGCCCUUGUUUGAUUGAAUGAAGUGAUUUUGUGUGCAUUUGCUCAUGUGCAUUGGGGUAGUGUUUUCCCUUUAGACCCCACUCUAUUCUUAAUUCUCGUCUUUUCUAAACCCUCAGAUGCCUCCGAGAUGUGACAAUGGAUUCCCACCGGAGCUCACUCAGUUGAUCCAGCAGCAGAAUCAAUUGAUGCAGAUGUUAGUCCAGAACCAGCCGAACAACAACGACAACCCACCACCACCACCACCACUUGUAGACCACUUAGCCCGUUUCCUUAGGCUGAAUCCGCCGGUGUUUUCCAGUAGCACCGAGCCAAUAGUAGCAGACGAUUGGCUCCGCAAGAUAGGAAGGGAGUUGACCACUUCAGGAUGCACGGAUGGUGAGAAAGUGAAGUUUGCCGCUCACCAGCUUGACGGACCCGCGGCAGCAUGGUGGGAGAAUUUCACAGCCACUUACCCAGUUGACACUGUCACAUGGGAUCAGUUUCAGCAAGCUUUCCGCACUGCCCAUGUUUCAGCAGGAGCUAUGGCCCUGAAGAAGCGUGAGUUUCGCAACUUACGCCAAGGAGGAAGGACAGUUGGCCAGUACAUUGACGAUUUCAGCAAGUUAGCACGUUACGCCCCAGAUGACGUUGCUAUGGAUGCAGCUAAGAAGGAGAAGUUUCUGGAAGGACUGAAUGAUGAACUAAGCAUGAAGUUGAUGGUAGCGAGUUUCAACAAGUACCAGGAGUUGGUAGAUCGUGCCAUCAUGAUUGAAGGGAAGCAACAGCAUAUUGAGAACCGUAAGAGGAAGUAUGGACAGGGGAAGUAUAACCCUGGAGCCCAGCAGAAGCCCCGUUUUACCCCUAAACCGGGAUUUCAGUUUCAGCAUACCCAUGGAGGAGGUAGCUCACACAACCAUAAUGGCCACAAGAAUGGUAAUGGGAAUGGAGGAAGCAACGGCCAGAACCGGACCACCCCAUUGACCCCAACCAAGAGAGACCUGAGUCAAGUCACCUGUUUCAAGUGUUCCAAGACCGGACAUUAUGCCAAUGAAUGUCCCGAAGGCCAGAAUGGAAAUGGCAAUGGAAGCUCUGGGAAGAAGCCGAACCCUUUCAAUAGGGGACAGGUGAACCACAUUAGUGUGGAGGAGGUUGAAGAUCAGCCUGAUGCAGUAAUCGGUAAGUUUCUGGUUAAGUCAUUUACCGCACUCGUACUAUUUGACACUGGUGCAUCGCAUUCAUACAUAUCAAGGGGAUUUGUGGAUAAAUAUAACCUGCCAACCCAAGCCCUUAGGUCACCCAUGUUAGUAAGCUCACCAGGAGCGGAGUUUAUGGCUAGACUAUGGUGUGAUCGGUUACCAUUAAGGAUUGGUAACUAUGUGUUUCCCUCAGACCUAAUAGUAUUGGAAUCUCAAGGAUUGGAUGUGAUAUUAGGCAUGGAUUGGUUAUCAAAGUAUGAAGGGAAUAUUGAGUGUGCUAAUAAGUCAAUUUUGCUUACCACACCAGAAGGAAGAAGGAUCAAGUAUGUAUCCCGGUAUGUGCCAAAUAGGACACAAGUAAACUGCCUAACAGGAGUUGUGCAACAGGAAGUACCAGUGGUAAAGGAUUUUCCUGAUGUAUUUCCUGAGGAAUUACCAGGCAUGCCACCGAAUAGAGACAUUGAGUUUUUGAUUGAGUUAUUGCCAGGUACAGGCCCAAUAUCGAAGCGACCGUACCGGAUGCCAGCAAAGGAUUUGGUGGAAAUUAAGAAUUAGAUUAAGGAGUUAUUGGAUAAAGGUUACAUUCGCCCAAGUUCUUCGCCUUGGGGAUCACCCGUACUACUAGUGGAAAAGAAGGAUGGAUCAUUAAGGAUGGUUGUAGAUUAUCGGGGAUUGAAUGAAGUAACCAUCAAGAAUAAGUACCCACUACCAAUGAUCAAUGAUCUGUUUGAUCGAUUGCAAGGAGCUAAAGUGUUUUCCAAGAUCGAUUUGCGAUCAGGGUACCAUCAGUUGAAGAUUCGAGAGCAGGACAUACCUAAGACAACAUUCACCACAAGAUAUGGACUGUAUGAGUAUACCGUUAUGUCAUUUGGAUUGACUAACGCACCUGCCUAUUUUAUAAACCUGAUGAACAAAGUGUUUAUGGAGUUUUUGGAUAAGUUUGUCGUAGUGUUCAUUGAUGACAUCCUGGUUUAUUCAAAGAAUGAAGAGGAGCAUAAGGAACAUUUGCAUUUGGUUUUGGAGAAACUAAGGGAACAUCAGUUAUACGCCAAAUUCAGCAAAUGUGAGUUUUGGUUGAAGGAAGUUGGAUUCCUCGGACACGUUAUAUCCGGAGAAGGUAUAGCAGUUGACCCCACUAAGGUUGAGACCGUAACCGAAUGGGAAUCACCAACGACAGUUGGAGAGAUCCGGAGUUUUCUUGGACUCGCAGGAUACUACCGGAGAUUCAUUGAGAAUUUCUCAAAGAUUGCGAAGCCUAUGACGGAGUUGUUGAAGAAGGAUACUAAGUUCAAAUGGACUGAGGAGUGUGAGGCUAGUUUCCAGGAAUUGAAGAAACGCUUGGUUACCUCACCAGUAUUGAUUCUGCCAGAUCAGACCAAGGAUUAUGAGGUGUAUUGCGACGCUUCACGUCGAGGACUUGGAGCAGUGCUUAUGCAGGAAGUGAUUGUUGUUUCGUAUGCUUCACGGCAACUGAAGCCUCAUGAGUUGAAUUAUGCCACGCAUGAUUUGGAGUUAGCAGCCGUAGUGCAUGCAUUGAAGACGUGGAGACAUUUCCUCAUUGGAAAUCAUUGUGAGGUGUACACGGAUCACAAGAGUUUGAAGUACAUUUUCACGCAGAAGGAGUUGAACCUCUGACAAAGGAGAUGGAUGGAGCUCAUCAAGGAUUAUGACAUGAGAUUGCAUUACCAUCCCGGAAAAGCUAAUGUAGUAGCUGACGCAUUGAGCCGUAAGAGCCAUGUCAAUACUCUAAUGACGGGGAAAAUACCCAAGGAGUUAGCAGAAAACCUUCGUGAGCUAUGUUUGGAAAUAGUUCCGAGAGGCUAUGUAGCAACAUUGGAGAUUCAGUCAACAUUGAUGGAUAAGAUCAGAGAAGCUCAGAAAUCUGACAAGGAGAUUGCUGCUAUAAAAGAGAAAUUGAGCGAAGGAAAAGCAAAGGGAUUUCGUGAGGAUGAGCACGAUACCCUAUGGUUUGCGGACCGUGUUUAUGUGCCAAAUGACCCGGAGAUCAGGAAGUUGAUUUUGCAAGAGGCACAUGAUUCACCGUAUUCGAUUCACCUAGGGAAUACCAAGAUGUAUUUGGAUUUGAAGGAAAUAUUCUGGUGGACCGGAAUGAAGAAGGAUAUUGCAGCAUAUGUAGCAGUUUGUGACAUAUGUCAUAGAGUAAAGGCAGAGCAUCAGAAGCCAGCAGGAUUGUUACAACCAUUGCCGAUACCCGAAUGGAAGUGGGAUAAGAUAGGCAUGGAUUUUAUCACAGGACUACCCAGGACAAAAUCAGGCUAUGAUUCGAUAUGGGUAGUAGUUGAUCAUUUGACAAAGGUAGCACAUUUCAUUCCAGUUAAGACCACUUACACCAGUGCUAAGUUGGCAAAGAUAUACAUGACUAGGAUCAUUUGUUUGCAUGGAGUUCCGAGGAGUAUGGUAUCAGAUAGAGGAACCCAAUUUACCUCAAAAUUUUGGAAUCAGUUGCAUGAAACUUUAGGAACCAGACUAGAGUUUAGCACAGCUUUUCAUCCACAGAUGGAUGGACAGACCGAGAGAGUCAAUCAGAUUUUGGAAGAUAUGCUGAGAGCUUGUGCACUAGAUUAUGGAUCUAGUUGGGACGAUAACUUGCCAUAUGCGAAGUUUUCUUAUAACAACAGUUAUCAAACCAGUUUGAAGAUGGCACCUUUCGAAGCUUUAUACGGAAGGAGGUGCAGGACACCAUUGUCACGGGACGAAGUUGGAGACCGUCAAUUCUUUGGACCAGAUUUGAUUAAGGAGUCUGAACGGAAAGUUAAGUUGAUUCGCGAUAGGCUCAAGGUAGCCCAGUCUAGGCAGAAGAGCUACGCAGAUUCUAAACGCAAGGAGAUAGUUUACGAAGCCGGAGACAGAGUUUAUCUUCGAGUAUCCCCACUUCGAGGAGUUAAGCGCUUUGGAGUUAAGGGAAAAUUAGCACCGCGUUUCGUUGGACCGUAUGAGAUCUUGCAACGUAUGGGAGAAGUCGCUUAUAAGUUGGAAUUACCAGAGGGAUUGUCAGGAGUUCAUGAUGUAUUCCAUGUUUCUCAGCUGAAGAAAUGUCAUGCCGAGAUGGUGGAGGUACCGCUAAGAGAUACCGUGCCACUCGAAGCGAUUCAGUUGAAGGAUGACUUAACAUAUGAGGAGAAGCCAGUCAAGAUUCUCGAUUAUGCCAGCAGAGUUACCCGCAGCAAGGUUAUCAAGUUUUGCAAAGUUCAGUGGAACCACCACUCAGAGGAUGAAGCCACCUGGAAAGAGAAGAAGAUUUGCUCAAGGACCACCCUCACCUAUUUUCUAGCCAACCCGAAUCUCGAGGGCGAGAUUCAUCUUAAGGGGGGUAGGUUUGUAACAUCCCAAAUUUUCAAUUUGGAAUGUUAUACAUUAGAUCAUCAUGCAUAUCAUAUUUUCAUGCAUUUUGGUUGCUCCUAGAAAUUUCACGCAACUCAAGGACCUUCGGAGAGAGUUGGAGAUUUCGUUAUUUUCAUAUUUGAGAGUUUUCUCAAAUUUGAAAAGAGGAUCAUUUGAUUUAUUUAUUUCAUCUUCAAUUAUUUUUCCAAUAUCAAAAAAAUGAGACAGGGAAUAAUAUGACUUUCCCAAAGUUAGGAAAAAUGAAGAUUUAAUGAAUAAGUCAAAUUUUGGAUUUUCCGGUGUUUAUUCGCAUUUUAUUUGGGUAGGGAAAAAUGCGUGUUUUCAAAAAUUGCAUUCUAGGUCCGGAGUAAAGUUCUUUUUGUUCGACUCAUUUUCAGGAGUCGGGGAAAAUUUACUUUAGAGAUUUUGGAGUUCGUUUAGAUUUUCUUUCUUUUGUUUUUCUGUGCGUGAAUCCAGUUAAAAAAAAGAAAGGACCAAGGCCAGCCGGGCCAAAGGCCCAGCCAGCCGGCCACCUCCCCAGCCAGCGCGCGCACCAGGCGCAGCGCCAGGCCGCCGCCUCCAUCGCUCUAGGCCGAGUCCUAGAGGGACUCUAGGCCGGUUAGCCCCCCCUUUCCUUGUUUUGUUUUCCCUCUUUUGCUUGCCCCCUACCCCAAGUAAUCGCCUCCCCACCUAUAUAAAUACACCCCAAACCCCCCCCCCUCUCCUCACAUCAAUCCCAAGCCCCUCUCCUCCUUAGCCGCGCCCCACCCCGCACCCCUCACCCGCCGCCGCCGCCCUAUAGCCGCCGCCGCCGCCCUAUAGCCGCCGUCGCCGCCGUUCGCCGGAGCCUCGCCGAGGUUGUCCCGCGCGGCGUCUCUUUUUCUCCCUUCGGUUCAGUUUUUCUUCUAAACCGUUUCGGUUCUUUCUUAACCGUUCCGGUUUUCUUUCGUUCUUUGUUUCAGUUUUCUUUUCCGAAAACCCUAGAUCGGUUUUCGUUCUUCUUUCGGACCGUUCGUAUCAACGAACGUGAUCACCGAUUAUUCCCCGGUUAACGACGCCCGUUCGUUUAAUCGUUCUUCCUUUUCUUUUCGUCGGAUUUAUUCCGCGAUCGCGAUCUCAGAUCCGAUCUUCAUUCUAGUCUUUCUUCUCGCUCGUUUAUCGGAAUCAGGUGAUUCAAGCACCUGGAGUUUCGUUUCGAAACCGCCGUUCCGUCUAAUCAACUUAAACAAGUUUUUGCCCCGGUAAAAUUUGACCUAGUUUCAACUUGCUAGAACCGAGUUGUUUUCUUCCGCCGCUUGUUUUCCGUUUCUUUGUUCGGUUCGUUCUUUCUUUGCAACCGGAGUUCUUAAGUUGAACCUUCUGGUUCGUUCUCUUGUUUGAGUUUUACCUGUGCAUUAGAUGAGUACUUAUUGUGCACUUGUUGUUUGUCUGCGAUAGAUCACCCGGAUUGCGCCGCCUAUUACUUCGAUUCCCUAGGUCUCGCGGAUCAUCAGCAAGGCAAGUAACACUUUGAUCAUACCUUUUCUAGAACCCAGUUUUAUUGCAUUAGAUCAAUCCUCUCACAUUGCAUGAUUAGGAUCUAAUUAAACUGUGGGAUGGGAAGUAGAUGAGGUAGUACCUAUCACCUGUAUUAUUAUGAAACCUUUGGGAGUUACUUCUACGUUGCUUAUUAUGCCAUGCUAUGCUAGUAGACGUGGAUUGGGUGAGUGAUAUCCAUGACAGAUGUGAGUUGAUAAUUUUAAUGGUUUAUCUAAGGUGGCAACUUAAACACACAUCUGGGUGGAUUGAGGCACCUGAUGUCUAUCAGGACUUGCCUGUUUUUUUUGGACCGCCACCCAGGCUCAAAUGGAUCAUAAGAUAAUUCAUACUAGAAACUUCCGUGUGCAGCCACAUGCUACUAUGGGCUCUGGCAUAGUUGACUAAGUUGUGUGAACUCUUACGGGGUGGACUAGCAGAUGUAGGGGUUGUAGGUGGUACGGUCUACCCCACAUGUAAGGUUCUAGCGCUUCUGAAAGACUAUGUCUCGGUCAUCCGUUUCUCAAACACCAUGUAGUGCGAGAAAAUAAACGGAGGCGAUCGAGUCAUGUGGGGAAAAGUGCGCAAACCUCUGCAGAGUGUAUAAACUAAUCAUGAUUAGCCGUGUCCCCGGUUAUGGACAACUUGAGUAUCUAGUACUUGAAUAUCAUGUGAAUCUCAUCACGUUACUUAUAAUUAAUGUUGUUGGGUUUUAAUUGUUCACUUAAUUGGGAUUGGAAUGCUGUCAACCAUUCUCGAUGUUUAACAACUACCAUGAUAGUUAAAUAAAUUUAUUCCUUUGCAGUAGGGAAAAACUGGCUUUACGCAAAACUAUAACCAUAGAGCUUUCCACCAGCCAUAUAUGCAUGUAGUAUAGCUGUUUCUUUCCAUUACUCUCUAUGUGUUACAUUGCCAGCAUAUUCCAUGUGCUUACCCGUUUUCGGGCUGCAACUUUCAUGUUGCAGACUUUUCAGACGACGAGUAAGGUGCUUUUAGGUCGUGGUUCUAUACUCAGUGAUGCCAUUGGAGUUGAUGGACCCAUUUAUCUUCCGAGUCUUCCGUUGUUAUCGGCAUUAGAUGGCCUUAAGCCAUAUUUAUUGUAAUAAGUUCUCUUUGAGACAACGAUGUAAUAAGUGUGUGAUUGCCACUCUGCUAUAAAUCCUUCGAUGUACUGUGUGGUGUCAGCAUUACUGAUCCAGGGAUGACACCUGAGCACAGAGCACUUGAUCCAUUCGGGUCGGGUCGCUACAUUCCAAGAGGCUUUGUUGCAACAAUGGAGGUUCAGUCUACAUUAUUGGGAAAGAUUCAAUGAGCUCAGAAGGAUGAUGAGGAAAUUGCCGAGAUUAAGGAGAAGAUGAGCAAAGGAAAAGCCAAAUGUUUUCGUGAGGAUGAACACGAGACUUUAUGGUUUGAGGAUCAUGUAUACGUGCCCAAUAAUGCGGAGAUCAGGAAGUUAAUACUUCAGGAAGCUCAUGACUCGCCAUACUCAAUUCACCCCGAAAACACCAAGAUGUAUUUGGAUUUGAAGGAGCGUUUCUGGUGGACAGGCAAGAAGAAGGAUAUUGCUGAGUAUGUAGCAGUAUGUGACGUAUGUCAGAGAGUGAAGGCAGAGCAUCAGAAGCCAGCCGGAUUAUUACAGCCCAUGCCGAUACCCGAUUGGAAGUGGGACAAGCUUGGCAUGGAUUUCAUCACCAGAUUACCAAGGACCCGAUCAGGAUAUGAUUCCAUCUGGGUAGUAGUUGAUCGCCUAACCAAGGUAGCUCACUUUAUCCCAGUGAAAACCACCUAUAAAAGCGCGUAGUUGGCCAAGAUAUAUAUGACCUGGAUUGUAUGUCUGCAUGGAGUUCCGAGGACCAUCGUAUCAGAUAUAGGGACAUAGUUUACCAUGAAGUUUUGGAAUCAAUUGCACCAGACUUUGGGUACUAUGCUGGAGUUCAGUACAGCCUUUGAUCCGUAGACAGAUGGACAGACCGAGAGAUUUAAUCGGAUUCUGGAGGACAUGUUGAGAGCAUGUGCGCUAGAUUAUGGAUCUAGUUGGGAUGAUAAUUUACCUUACGCAGAGUUCUCAUAUGACAACAGUUACCAGGCUUGUUUGAUGAUGGCACCUUUUGAAGCCUUGUAUGGAAGGAGAUGCAGGACACCAUUAAUGUGGGUUGAAGUUGGAGACCGUCAGUUGUUUGGACCGGAUUUCAUCAAAGGGUCCGAAGAGAAGGUUAAGUUGAUUCGAGAUAGACUGAAGGUAGCUCAGUCCAGGCAGAAGAGUUAUGCCGACACUAAACGCAAGGAGGUAGUCUAUGAAAUAGGAGAUAGAGCAUAUCUUCGUGUGUUGCCACUCCAAGGAGUUAAAAGAUUUGGAGUUAAGGGAAAGUUAGCCCCGAGAUUUUUAGAACCAUACCAAGUUCUGGAACGUAUGGGAGAGGUUGCCUACAAAUUGGAGUUACCCGAAGGAUUGUCAGGAGUUCACGAUGUGUUUCACGUUUCCCAGUUGAAGAAGUGCCAUGCUGAGAUGGCCGAUAUUCCCCUAAGAGAUACAGUGCCUCUCUAAGUAAUUUAGUUGGAGAUUUAUCUAACAUACGAGGAGAAACCUGUCAAGAUUCUUGAGUUUGCCAGCCAAGUUACCCGCAGCAAGGUUAUCAAGUUUUGCAAAGUUCAGUGGAGCCACCAUACCGAGGAUGAAGCCACCUGGGAGCGAGAAGAAGACCUACGGAAAGACCACCCACACCUAUUUUCUAGCCAACCCGAAUCUCGAGGGCAAGAUUCAUCUUAAGGAGGGUAGGUUUGUAACAUCCCAAUUUGCAAUUCGGAUGUUAUACAUAGGUCAUCAUAUGCAUAUCAUAUUUUAUUUGCAUAUUUGGUUGUGAUCCUAGAAAUCUUAAGCAACUCAAGGACCCAAGGACAGAGUUGGGGAUUUCAUACAUUUUCAUAUUUGAGUUUUUCUCAAAUUUGAAAAGAGGAUCCAUUUGGUUUUAAUAUGUUUCUCUCUAAUUAUUUCCAAUAUUUAAAUUAAAAGAGAGAAGAUAAUAGACUUCUUCAAAAAGAGAGGAAUAUUGGAGGAGAAAUUUUAAAAUCAAAUUUAUAUUUUAUUUGGUUUUUAUUUGAUAUUUUAUUUGAAUUAGAAAAGUAUGCAUUUUUGGAAAUUGCAAUUUUAGCCCAGAAAAAUGUUCACUUCGUUCUAAAUAAUAGGUUUAGACGGAGAAAAUUGUUUUGGCAUUUUUUUAGAAUUUUUUUAUAUUUUAUUAGGAUUUUAUUCGGGCGGAAUUUUAUUUAAAAAAAUCCUUCCCUCGCCCAACUGGGCCGAAGGCCCAGCUGACCGGUCUAGUAGCCCACAUCGCCGCCGCCUUCCUCCCGCGCGGGGACGAGACCCGCCGCCGCAUGCAGCCGAGGGGAGUCCAAGCCGGACUCCACCCCUCGCCGCCCCCUUGCCCAAGGCCGACCCCCCUGGCCUUUAUAACCACCGCCGCCGCCGCUUCCUCCCUCACCCCGAGCCGCCGCACCACCGCCACCAAGCCGCGCCGUCGCCGCCUUUGCGCCACCGAGCCGUGCCGCUACUGCCUGCUGCUGCGGCGCCGCCUCGCUCGCGCUGCUGCCUUUCCUCGCCGCCCGCCAGAGUCCGCCGCCGUUGUUUCGUCGUUGCCGAGAAAUGGUACAAACCGCCCUGGUUCACCGGUUUAUUUUCGGGUUUUUUCGGUUCUCGGUUUAGAUCGGUUUAGGGUUAGGCUUUUCUUGGUUUUUUCCAAAUGAAUCUAUUUAGCAAACGUUCUUUGUUCUGUUUGUUUUAAUGAACAUGUUCGUUCGUUUGUCCUGACAGCGAACGUUCGUUCGAUAGCCUUUUUCUUUUAUUCUAUUUUCGGCUAGGGACCUAUCCACGAUUAUUUUUAUCGCAGAUUAGCCCAUGAUCUUCAAGCCCUCACAACUUUUUGCUCGCUCGUCCAAAUCCAGUGAAACCAACGCCAAAAUAUUCUUCUUGUUCCCCUCUUUCUAGUUAGCUAACUUGAAUAUGGAUUAAAAAUUUUAAAAUUUGGUUGCAAGCAGAUUUCAAUUCAAACUUCUUUUGAUCGUAGUUUGAGUUUCGUAGCUCCGAUUUGGUUGAUUCUUUUUGCAAAUGAAAGCUCUUCAAUUGAACUUUCAAUUUGUAUCUUUUCUCUUGAGUUUUACCAUUGCAUCUAUUGCUUGAGUGUUUAUGUAUGUUAUUGUUUGUUUGCGAUAGAGUUUCCGGAGUGCGAAGCAUGCUACUACGAGUCACUAGGGUUUUUAGAUCGUCAGCAAGGCAAGUAACACUUUGAUCAUACCCCUUAUUACCUAGUUUUUAUGCAUUAUUUCUAUCCUUGAACACUGCAUGGUUAGGACUUGAAUAUUUGUGGGUACUGGGAAGUAGUGAUGAGGUAGUACCUAUUGUCUUUAUUUCAAACCCUGGAAGUUACUUCUACGUUGUGCUUAUACUGCUAUGCUAUGCUCGUAGACGUGGUUUGGUUUGAGUGAUCCAUGACAUAUGUGAGAGUUUUAAUUAAUGGUUAAACUUAAGGUGGCUACUUUAAUACACAUCUAGGUGGAUUGGUUGAGGCAACCAGGAACACCCAGUGGUUGUCUGGGCACCUGGAGCAAUCCAGUUUUGUCCUGGGAUAUCCCGGAGUACCCAUGUGAUCAUCCUACGGUUUGGCACCCAGGCUCGAAGGGAUCAUAAGAUUAUACAUGCUGGAAACUUACGUGUGCAACCACAAGCCAUUAUGGGCUCUGUCAUAGUUGAGUAAGUUGUGUGACCUCUUUCAUUGGUAUGCUAGCAGAUGUAGGGGAUGUAGGUGGUACUGUCUACCCAGAGUAAAGAGUUAAUGCUUCUGAAAGACUGUGUCUUGGUCAUCUGUUUCUCAAACAUCAUGUAGUGAGAAAUACAGCGGAGGAGAUCGUGUCUUGUGGUGAAAAGUACGCAAACCUCUGCAGAGUGUAUAAACUAAUCAUGGUUAGCCGUGUCCCCGGUUAUGGACAUCUUGAGUAUCUGGUACCUGAAUUAUUGAUUUGAUCUCAUCACUCUAUUAAUUAAUUUGUUGGGUUGAUGACUAUAUAGUUUGGGAUUGAGUUGGAGGAACCUUCUCAAUGUUUCCAACAAACUUUGUAGUUAAAUAAAAUAUAUUCCUUUGGUGUAGGGAAAAAUUAGCUUUCUGCAAAAAUAACCAUAGAGCCUCCACCAGCCAAGUAUGCAUAUAGUUAUAGCUGCUACAUGUUCAUUGCUCUCUAGUGUUAUUUUUCCAGCAUAUUCCAUGUGCUGACCCAUUUCGGGCUGCAACGUAUUAUGUUGCAGACUUUUCAGACGAAGAGUAAGGUGCGCUAGGUCGUUGUCGUGCACUCAGCAAUGUCGUCGAAGUUGAUGGACUUAUUUUACAUUUGAAGUGUUUGAUGUUAUUUUCAUUAGAUGGCCUUCAGCCAUAUUAUUGCAACAAGUACUCUCUUUUGAGAUAUUCGAUGUAAUAAGUGUGUGAUUGACCUCUGUUAUAAAUCCUUCAAGUACUAUGUGUGUCAGCAUUAUUGAUCCUGGGAUGACACUUAUACGCAGAGAUUUGACCGCUUGAGGUCGGAUCACUACAGCCAAGCCGGGCCGACCGGUCCAUGUCAAGAUUUUUCGGGCUUGAGCCAGGCUUGUGCUGUAUUUAGUAGGCCUGACGGUCAGGCUGAGCCAGGCUCGGGCCUGGGUUUUCAGCACCGGCCGUGGUGGAAAGUAGGGGCCGGGCGGUGGGGGGAGGGGCCGGAUCUGGUGGCUUGGGUGACAGGGGCGAUAGGUGGCAGGGAGCGUGGGAGGACUGCCAGAGACGAAGAAGAUGGCGGGGAUCUAGGGUGCGGCUGUGAGGAUCUGUGGGGAGUGGGGCUUGGGGCCGACCGUGCGGGGGAGAGAGUAAGAUCGUGGGUGGAGUGGGUCAGAUGGGGUGGUCUUUAUCUUUCUUUCGUUGGUGCGCCUCGGGGUCAGUUCGGUGGGGGUGUGUGCAGAAUAAGGUUUCUGUUGUUAGAAUAAGGUCUUAAGGGGUGUUGUUCGAAUAGACCCACUCAAUUUAUAUGGCUUGUUCCCUAUAACGACUACGAUGAGGGAUAUUAUAUGGCUUGUUCCAUAGUGGUGUGGGACUUCCAAUUUUUUUUAUUAAUUUCUCAUUAUCUGACAUGAUAAUGAUGAUUUAUUUUUCUAUGUCGUGGCAAUAAAAUGAUUUUAGCUACACAAUGGAAAAAAUAUGCUAAAUCAAAAAAUAUAAAUAGCUUAUUAUUAAUUUACUUGUAUGAACCGAAUCAGGUUUCACAGAAACAAUAUAAGCAUUCACCUUCACGCAAUAUUUCUAGUACAUAUAUAAACUCAUUUCAUGGUACUUCUCAGUUCUUUCUGCAGCAGCAUGUGCUACUACUGCCUUCAACACAACUGCUCUUAUCCUUGUCAUAACCUCGGUUAACAUAGUUAGCUUUGCACGCAAUGUUGCCACUAGCUCGGUCUGGUGGCGAACAAUAGUCCACAGUUGUACAUAGGUUUGUAUCUGUGUAGUAAUCACAAUAGAGAUACCUCAAUCAACACAUAUAACCCACCAGGAAAAUAUAUAUUUGUGUAUCCAAAUACGAGUGAAGAGAUUAUGAAAGAAAGAAGAAAACCAUACCUAUGUAACGCCCUGCUGCAUGACAUGAGAAGACAGUGGUGGCCAUGGCUACAAGAGCUACCAAGCAUAGGGCCUAUGUGUAGUUCCGCAUACUGGCCAUGGGAGAUAGUUAGCUAUUCCUUUUCUGCUAAUGUUGUUCGUUGAUUUUUCUGAACUCAUGUUCUUUGCCUAGGUGCUUGAUUUAUAUUGAGCGAAAGCUAGCAGGCUUGGAGCUUAACACGGAAGAAAAACUUGGAGUAAAUUUAUUUCUUUCCUCCUAUAGCUUUGUAGUAAAUAAAUGCCUCUUUGUACAAAGGCUUGCUAUAAUCUCCACAAUAAAUUCUUGCCAUUUAAUCAUAUUAUGUAUUAAUGCAUCGUUAUCUGCAUUGUGUUAAUGCGUCCUUAUCCUCAUUAAUAUAUGCUUGGUAGAUGAGCCUAUUAUACAUGUGGUUUACUUUAUCCCAUGGUAGUUCUGAUAUACAGUGCCCUCACCCACACUCAUUGAUACAGAAAAAGUAGAGUUGUCCUCAUGAGUAGGGAUGAAAACAAAGCAAAAUGCACAAAACUUAGUCCUGCCACAUUAUUUUUGUAUUUCUAAAUGCAUAAAUGAAUAACAAAACCAAGCAAACGAAUAUACAAACAUAUCAUAUUGGAAAUAGAUACAUACCAAAUAUGCUAUCUAUACAAAUAAAAAAGCUAUGGAUGGGUGCUUGACAUGGUGCCAUCACGACAGCAAUCUGAUGUCCCUAACACUUGGUUGCGCUAAUACGCCUACUCGUUUACUUGAUUUGGCAGUAGAACAAAUUAGGUUGAGUUCAUUCAUCACACGGGGUGCAAAAUAAGUUAUUCUUCACUCGAGAAAAUGUUACAUAAUUUCAUAAAUAAAUUAUAUUCGAAAUACAAAUCGUUACAUUCAUAUUGAUUCACCGCGUAAAAUGUGGCAUAAGAAAAAAAUAUAGGUCAUAAGACCAGAAACAUUGCAUUCUAUGUACAUUUUACAUUAAGUUUUUACAUUUAUAUCUUACAUAACAUAACAUAUUUUUACGGUGAUUAUAUAUUUUCAUACGUUCUUUUUUUACAUCUGAAAUAAGACAAAAUUUACGGAACAUAAAAGUACGAUGCAUUAAUAAAAUAGAGAGGGGUGAACAAUAACUAUUCCUCACCAAGGGUGACGAACAUAUAAUUUUACGUUCUAACCACCACGCGCACCAACAAAUUAAACUAAACUGUCACGCGUGCCUACACCCACCAUAGAAGCAAACACUUCAUUUGAUAGUCAAACAAUUACCAUGUAGUAAAUCUAAGAAACCCAAUCAUACAACAAUUAUUGUGUAGUAAUGUUUAAGAAAUAUUUCCUUCUAGUCGAUGUUAUUUCCAUAAACUUCCAAACCUCCUCCGGAGGCAAAAAGAACUACACUGCAAUAUUAGCAGAAAAAAUUGCAUGCCCUAUUUGGGUACUGCUUGCGAUGUUAAACCAUUCGUUGGAAGGAGGCGUGUAAUAUACCGUUGGAAAGCUAUGGAUUAGGCACAACUGUGCCACAUUGAACACUUUUCUAUAUUCGUCACGGUUUAAAAGCAGUGUAAAAAAUGAUGCGGCACCCGAUGAGUGGCAGCGAGCGUAUUUUCGUGUUUUUCCGAACGGCUUGUCGGAAUUAUGCAAAUCAUAUGUUGUUGGAAAUAUAUCAUCGAGGCACAACUUUUUAAUAUAUAAUACUCUCUCUAAUUCUUUACGGUGUAAGAGCAGUUUCAAAUUUACCAAAACACGAAAACUCUGUUUUUCAAAUUUUGAGAUUUUUCGUUCCAGUUUUCGCGGCAAUUUUUUAACCGCGUGAGUUUUGGUUGUCUUUUUCAUACUUAUCUUUUGAAGCGCGUGGACCUGCCGAGUGGACAGCAUGGACUGAGCGAGCGAAUCGCACUGCAUCGAGAAGUGAACCAAAUUUUUUUGUUGUUGUUUUCCUAAUAUUUUCGCAUUUCACAUUGGAAACAAGUGAACAAGAUCACUCUUGAAAGUGUACCAUCGGGGCAUAAACUAGUAAACUAUAUCUGAAAAGAAGUGAACUUCUUACGAUGUUUUUCUUUUUUCCCGUUUUACAAAGUGAACUACAGAAGAUGUUUACACUGAACCGCAUCCCAAGUAAUCUUUUUUUUUUGUCAAUACGGACUGCAUCCCACCAUGUUUGGAUUAUUUUUCUACUGCAUACGACAACCGAAUUUUGAGCAAUGAGCAAUGAACCAUGGUGGUUUCCCACAAUCUUUUGUCUUCUUUUAUUGGAGCGAACCACAUAGUUGUGGCAAACGAACUACACUUGUGUUUUCUAUUAGUUGGCAUGGAAUCUAAAUGAACCACAUCAGUUCUUUUUGUAUUUUUAAAAUAAAAAAAUACAAAUAUAUAUGGACUUCGUGCUCAAACUUAGGAACUGCAAUUGUUUUUCAUGAUUAUGUACUAUGGGGAUCAUUUCUAUUUUUCACUUUUAGUAUUUUAUAUAGAGGGGAAGAAAAUGAACUGCAAUACUUCUUUUUUUCUCACAGGUGUGUACUGUAAAAAUGGACCUAAAACAAAUAAUCAAGAUUACAAUCCGGUCCUUUUGGACACGCCUUGGAUGUGACUACUCGUCACCAUCCUCAGCUGCCAUCGUGGCCGAACACCAUGCCCCCAACUAGACGUCUUAGCGCCGGUAAGUGCACUGUGUCUUGUCGGGAUUCGAACUACAAUGGUGUUGAACAUAGAGCUCGCUAGAAACCAAGCCGUUGUUUGUCGUUGUCUCUCAGUGUGCCCAUCAACUCCAUAGAGACGCAAACUGAACCACAUCUCAAACCCCCACUCCAGCAGCAUGUAGAAACCGCAUGCCACAUGAAUGUCAUCUUCACGCAAAUGGAGCUGCAAUCAAAAUAAGAAGCACACUGUACCAAACAUUGCCCAAAUUAAAAAUAGCGAACUACAAAAAAAUAUUUUUUUGGAAAAGGUGAUGCACGUACUACACUUGGGUUUCCCUUCACACUGCAUGUCCGGGAUGCCUUGACUGCAAGGGGAGGAGGGCAGCUCAUCGAGUCGUACUGCAUGGGCGUGCGGUGAUGAUCAACGAACUGCACAUAGCGCGCUGCCGAGCUACACCGGAAAAAGGGGAUGGAGGUCAGCAGGAUGGGGCGCUCGUCAAUCCAAGUCGAACAACACAGGAGGAGUAACUGAAUUGCCUGCAAAUCCAACAUGAACCUCGCCGAAGUGGAGGUGGAUUUCCUGGUGUGGUUUUGCCACGACAAAUGUCCUUGUGAGAGGACUAAGUUGUGAAGCCAUCGCCGCUAGAAGGAAACUUGGAUGGGGUUGAUCGCAACAUGAUAAGACUCGAUUUUACCGAGGUUCGACCCCUAAUGGUGGAGGUGAAAGCCUACAUCCUGCUUGAUUGCUAUUGAUUGUCAUGGUCUCGAUUACAAGGGCGCUAUUUUGGUACCUCUGCCUCGAGAGCUAUCAAAACAUGAAUCUGUCUCGAGACCUAUGAAAACAUCUCUCUUGAUACUUGUCUAUCUAGAAACUCAUGCUUCUCAUGACCCUCAGACUCGCUUUAUAUCAUAGUUGGGUCCAUGGGGUUACAAGAGAUUCUGGGUUAUACCCACGGUCGAAGUCCUACUCUAAAUCCCCUAAAUCCUCCAUGUCUUCCAGGUCUAGCGUUUCCAUCUUGUAUUUGGACUCCUUGGUGGAAUUUCAUCUAAGUACAGGUCAUGUAGCAGGCCGGGUCCUGUAGCAGGCCGGGUCAAGAUUGUAGCCAGGUCAAGAUUGUGGUUGGGUCAAGAAUGUAGUUGGGUCAUGAUUGUAACUAGCUGUCUUAACUCCAGAAAUGACUUAACUCUAGAGAUGACUUAUCCUCAGAUCCUGGUCUAGCCACGGGUAACUCCCCCGACAGGUCCUCUCGCUCCCGCCUGCAUAGGGGUGCUGGAGGCAUGUUGGCCGUUGACACAUUUUUGGAGGCAGCCUAGGAUUUGUGAUAGCUUGCACACGCGUCAGGAUCCACCAGAGAAGGGGGAACUGGAAAAGGUUGCUUGAGAAGGGACAUGAUAUUAGGCCGACGGUGGGAGGCCGAUACGUCUCCAACGUAUCUAUAAUUUUUUACUGUUCCAUGCUAUUAUAUUAUAUGUUUUGGAUGUUUUAUAUGCAUUAAUAUGCUAUUUUAUAUUAUAUUUGGGACUAACUUAUUAACCUAGAGCCCAGUGCCAGUUUCUAUUUUUUCCUUGUUUUUGAGUUUUACAGAAAAGGAAUAUCAAACGGAGUCCAAACGGAAUAAAUCUUUACGAUGAUUUUUCUUGGAUCGGAAGACGCACGUAGGACUUGGAGACCAAGGCAGAAGAGUCCUGAGGCGGCGGCAAGGGUGCAGGGCGCGCCCCAGGGGGGCGCCCCCUGCCUUGUGGGUCCCUUGAAGCUCCUCUAACCCUAAUCUUCGGCAUAUAAAUUUAGAAAUAUUCCAAACAAUCAGAGGCAUCCACGAAAAUACUUUUCCACCGCCACAAGCCUCUGUUCCCGUGAGACACAUCUUGGGGCCUUUUCCGGCAAUCUGCCGGAGGGGGAUUUGAUCAUGGAGGGCAUCUACAUCAACCUAAUUGCCCUUCCAAUGAUGUGUGAGUAGUUUACCUUAGACCUACGGGUGUAGAGCUAGUAGCUAGAUGGCUUGUUCUCUCUCUAUGAUCUUCAAUACCAAGUUCUCCUUGAUGUUCUUGGAGUUUUAUCCGAUGUAAUAUUCUUUUCCGGUGUGUUUGUCGACAUCCAAUGAAUUAUGAAUUUAUGAUCAGAAUAUCUAUGAAUAUUAUUUGAAUCUUCUCUGAAUUCUUAUAUGCUUGAUUUGGUAUCUGUGUAUUUCUCUUCGAAUUAUCGGUUUGGUUUGGCCAACUAGAUUGGUAUUUCUUGCAAUGGGAGAGGUGCUUAGUUUUGGGUUCAAUCUUGCGGUGUCCUCACCCAGUGACAUAGUAGGGGUAGCGAGGCAUGUAUUGUAUUGUUGCCGUCAAGGAUAAAAGAUAGGUUUUUCAUAAUAUUGCUUGAGUUUAUUCCUCUACAUCAUGUCAUCUUACUUAAGGCAUUACUCUGUUCUUUAUGAACUUAAUACUCUAGAUACAUGUUGGAUAGCGGUCGAUGUGUGGAGUAAUAGUAGUAGAUGCAGGCAGGAGUUAGUCUACUUGACACAGCCGUGAUGCCUAUAUGCAUAAUCGCCUUGGAUAUCGUCAUAACUUUGCGCUUUUCUAUCAAUUGCUCGAUAGUAAUUUGUUCACCCACGGUAUGUUUUCUUUCAAGAGAGAAGCCUCUAGUGAAACAUAUCGCCCCCGGGAUCUAUUUUCCAUCAUAUAUUUUCGGAUCUAUAAACCAAAAAACCCAAAAAUACCUUGCUGCAGUUUUUUUACGUUUUAGUAAUCUUUUAUAUCUAUCUCUAUCAGAUCUCACCAUUGCAAUUGAUCAUGAAGGGAUUGACAACCCCUUUAUCGCGUUGGGUGCAAGUGUUUGAUUUUUUGUUGAGGUGCAUAGAUUGGAGACUUGCUUGUACCUCCUACUGGAUUGAUACCUUAGUUCUCUAACUGAAGGAAAUACUUUCUCUACUUUGCUGCCUCACCCUUUCCUCUUCAAGGGAAAAACCAACGCAAGCUCAAGAAGUAGCAUGAAGAAUUUCUGGCGCCGUUGCUGGGGAGGUUUGACAUCAAGCCUACCAAGUACCCAUCAUAAACUCUCAUCUCUUGCAUUACAUUAUUUGCCAUUUGCCUCUCGUUUUCCUCCCCCCACUUCUAAAACAAUUUUUAGAAAACACAAAGAUAUUUGCCUUUUUUAUUCUCCCUUCUUUUGCUCGUCUUUUCGUUUACUUUUUGUUUGCUAGAAUUCCCGUACGGCUCAACCCAAAAGCUUUGAUCCUUAUUUCAGGAAGUUGGAAGAGAUUGAAAGUAAUGCUAAAAGUUUCAUGACUUUACAAUAUGAGUAUAACGAUUUCUUUAGAAAUGGGCUUAAAGAAAAAAACUAUGAUGGGGUAUAUUAAUAAAGAUCUUGAUGACAUGUCUAAGGAAUUUUAUGGUUUGAAAUCUCAAUUUUCUCAUUGAAAAUUUAGUAGGCAAAAUUUAUGAUAAGCAUUCUACUUUAGUAAAUAAGAUGGCCGCUAAACCGGAGUCUUUGAAUAAUGAUGAAGAUCUUAAAGUGAUUGAUGUGACUCCUAUUGAAUCUUUGUUUUCUAAUAUAAAUCUUGAUAAAUAUGGGACUAGAGAUGAGUCAACUUUAGCUAGAAGGCAUCCCAAUGAUUCGCAGUUUAUAGAUCUUGAUGCAAAAAUUGAUAAAAGUGGGAUUGGAGUGGUCAAAACUUUAAGUAGCAAUGAAUCCGCUCUUUUGGAUUUAAAGGACUUUAAUUAUGAUAAUUGUUCUUUGAUAGAUUGUAUUUCCUUGUUGCAAUCCAUGUUGACUUCUCCUCAUGCUCAUAAUCAAAGUAAAGCAUUUACUGAACAUAUUGUUGAUGCCAUGAUGAAAUCCUUUGAAGAAAAACUUGAGUUGGAAGUUUCUAUCCCUAGAAAGCUUUAUGAUGAGUGGGAACCUAUUGUUAAGUGAAAAUUAAAGAUUAUGAGUGCCAUGCUUUGUGCGAUUUGGGUGCUAGCAUUUCCACCAUUCCAAAAACUCUAUGUGGUGUGUUAGGUUUCCGUGAAUUUGAUUAUUGUUUUUUAAAUUUGCAUCUGGCGGAUUCCACUAUUAAAAAACCUAUAGGAAGGAUCAAUGAUGUUCUUAUUGUUGCAAAUAGGAAGUAUGUGCCCGUAGAUUUCAUUGUUCUUGAUAUAGAUUGAAAUCCUACAUGCCCUAUUAUUCUUGGUAGACCUUUCCUUAGAACAAUUCAUGCCAUUAUUGAUAUGAAAGAAGGAAACAUUCGAUUUCAGUUUCCAUUAGUCAAACACUUUCUAAGAAAGAAAAUUAAGUUGCCAUAUGAGUGUAUUAUGAUAGCUACUUAUGGAUUGCAUACCAAAGAUAACAAUACCUAGAUCUAUUGCAAUAUGCCUAGCUAGGGGCGUUAAACAAUAGCGCUUGUUGGGAGGCAACCCAAUUUUUUUUGUGUUUUUUGUUUUGCUUCUGUUCUUGAAUAAAAUACACAUUAUUACCUCUAUAGUAAUUUUGUUUUUGUGUUUUUAAUUAGUGUUUGUGCCAAAUAAAGCCUUUGGGAUACUUUGGUAUAUCAUUGAUUUGAUCUUGCUGAAAAACAGAAACUUAUGCGCUCAUUGCCAGCAUUGUUAAAAAUCACAUAAGCGUGAUAAAAUCCUGAAGGUGGGGUGGGGCGGUGGGGGGAGAGGGGCCGAAUCUGGUGGCUUCGGUGACAUGGGGCGAUAAGUAGCUGGGAGCAUGGGUGGACUGCGAGAGACAAAGAAUAUGGAGGGGAUUUGGGGUGCGGCUGCAAGGGUCUGUGGGGAGUGGGGCUUGGGGCCGAACGUGCCGGGGGGGGUGAGUGAGAUCGUGGGAGGAGUAGGCCUGGGGUCUUGUUAGAAUAGACCCACCCUAUAUAUGGCUUGUUCCCUAUAACGACUACAAUCAGGGAUAUUCUAUGGCUUGUUCCAUAGUGGUGUGAGAAUUCCAAUCUUCUUGAUUAAUUUCUCAUUAUUUGACGUGAUAAUAAUGAUUUAUUUUUGUGUGUCAUGUCAUUAAAAUAACUUUAGCGAUGCAAUGGAAAAUAGAUACUAAAUAAACAAUUAUCAUUAGCUUAUUAUUAAUUUAUUUGUAUGAACUGAAUCAGGUUUCACACAAACAAUAUAAGCAUUCACCUCCAGGCAAUAUUUCUAGUACAUAUAUAAACUCAUUUCAUGGUACUUCUUAGUUCUUUCGGCAGCAACAUGUGCUACUACUACCUUCCAUGCAACUGCUCUUAUCCUUGUCAUAACCUCGGUUAACACAGUUAGCUUUGCACGCAAUGUUGCCACUAGCUCGGUCUGGUGGCGAACAAUUGUCCACAGUUGUACACAGGUCAUUAUCUGUGCACAAAUCACAAUAGAGAUACCUCAAUCAACACAUAUAACCCACCAGGAAAAUAUAUGUUUCUGUAUCCAAAUACGAGUGAAGAGAUUGUGAAAGAAAGAAGAAAACCAUACCUACAUAACGCCCUGCUGCAUGACAUGAGAAGACAGUGGUGGUCAUGGCUACAAGAGCUACCAAGCAUACGGCCUGUGUGUAGUUCCGCAUACCGGCCAUGGGAGAUAGUUAGCUAUUCCUUUUUUGCUAAUGUUGUUCGUUGAUUUUGCCGAAUUCAUGUUCUUUGCCUAGGUGCUUGCGUUUAUAUUGAGGGAAAGCUAGCAGUCUUGGAUCUCUUAAUACAGAAGAAAAACUUGGAGUAAAUUUAUUUCUUUCCUCCUAUAGUUUUGUAGUAAAUAAAUGCCUCUUUGUACAAAGGCUUGCUAUAAUCUCCACAAUAAAUUCUUGCCAUUUAAUCAUAUUAUGUAUUAAUGCAUCCUUAUCCGCAUUGUGUUAAUGAUGUCGUAUCCUCAUUAAUACAUGCUUGGUAUAUGAGCCUAUUAUACAUGUGGUUUAACUUAUCCCAUGGUAGUUCUGAUUUACAGUGCCCUCACCCACACUCAUUAUAGAAAAAGUAGAGUUGUCCUCACGAGUAGGGAUGAAAACAAAGCAAAAAUGCAUGAAACUAAGUGUUGCCAUAUUAUUCUUUAUUUUUUCUGAAUGCAUAACUGAAUAUAAAAACCAAGCAAAUGAAUAUAGAAACAUAUCGUAUUGGAAAUAGAUACAUACCAAAUAAGAUAUCUACACAAAUACAAAAGCUAUGGAUGGGUGGUUGACACAGUGCCAUCAGGACAGUAGUCUGGUGUCCCUAACACUUGGUUGCGCUAAUAGGCUACUCGAUUACUUGAUUUAGUAGUAGAACAUAUUAGGUUGAGUUUCUUUCAUAGAGAUUGACAAGGGCCUGCAUGACAAGGCCUAAUGGAGCUGUAAUGUCCACACUAUGAUGGAAAGUUUUUUAUUUGGGGAAGGGUAAAUUCCAUUUCCAUAUCCAUUCCACCAAAAAUUGAUGUUCUAUCCACUUAAAGAUUUAUGUUUUUGUUUCCUUAUUUGUGGAAAACAUAAAUAUUGAACAUUUAAGUGUCGAUUUCAUUCCUACUACUGAGAGUGCGCGUCUAUGACGGGAUAGAAAUUUUUGGUAUUUUUCCCGAUCAAUACAAAACACUUAAUGAAGUUUCACCUCAUCACAAUGAAAGGGGUAAUAGUUAUGAAAAUCUUACAUGGGUAAUAGUUAUGAAAAAUCCAGUUCGUAGGCUCGUCAUGGUCCUGUAACAUGACCUACAGAACCGGAUUACCGUACCACUCUGUUGUGGAUCUUACUCUGGUUGACCUACGAGGUUCGGUAGCAACUUGAUCAGACAUUUCAUGAUCAUCAUCAUUAGCUUCCUCACUUACUGGUGUUGGAAUCAUUGGAACUGAUUUCAGUGAUGAACUACUUUCCAAUAAAGGAGCAGGUACAAUUACCUCAUCAAGUUCUACUUUCCUCCCACUCACUUCUUUCGAGAGAAACUGCUUCUCUAGAAAGGAUCCAUUCUUAGCAACGAAUAUAUUGCCUUCGGAUCUAUGAUAGAAGGUGUACCCAACAGUAUCCUUUGGGUUUCCUUUGAAGACACAUUUCUCCGAUUUGGGUUCGAGCUUAUCAGGUUGAAGAUUUUUUCACAUAAGCAUCACAGCCCCAAACUUUAAAAACGACAACUUGGGUUUCUUGGCAAACCACGGUUCAUAAGGUGUCGUCCCAAUAGAUUUAGAUGGUGCUCUAUUUAACAUGAAUGCGGCUGUCUCUAAAGCAUAACCCCAAAACGAUAGUGGUAAAUCAGUAAGAGACAUCAUAGAUCGCACCAUAUCUAGUAAAGUAUGAUUACGAUGUUUGGAUACACCAUUACGAUGUGGUUUUCUGGGUGGCGUGAGUUGCGAAACUAUUCCGCAUUGUUUCAAAUGAAAACCAAACUCGUAACUCAAAUAUUCUCCUCCACGAUCAGAUCAUAGAAACUUUAUUUUCUUGUUACGAUGAUUUCCACUUCACUCUGAAAUUCUUUGAACUUUUCAAAUGUUUCAGACUUAUGUUUCAUUAAGUAUGAUCUCCAAUAACUCUGUUGCUCGCUCCAUUGUUCCGGAGAACUGAGUUUUAGUCAUCUUACACAUGAGGCAUGGUUCGCAAGUACCAAGUGAUUUAUAAUCAAGUGAUUCCAUAAGUCCAUCAGAAUGGAGUUUCUUCAUGCGCUUUACACCAAGAUGACCCAAACGGCAGUGCCCCAAAUAAGUUGCACUAUCAUUAUCAACUCUGCAUCUUUUGGAUUCAAUACUAUGAUCAUGUAUAUCACUACUAUCAAGAUUUAGUAAAAGUGGACCACUCAUCAAGGGUGCAUGACCAUAAAAGAAACUCCUCAUAUAAAUAGAAGAACCAUUAUUCUCUGAUUUCAAUGAAUAACCGUCUCGCAUCAAAAAGAUCCAGAUAUAAUAUUCAUGCUCAACGCUGGCACAAAAUAACAAUUAUUUAGGUCUAAAACAAAUCCCAAAGGUAGAUGUAGAGGUAGCGUGCUGACGGCGAUCACAUCGACUUUGGAACCAUUUCCCAUGUGCAUCGUCACCUCGUCCUUAGCCAAUCUUCGCUUAAUCCGUAGCCCCUGUUUCGAGUUGCAAAUAUUAGCAACAGAACCAAUAUCAAAUACCCAGGCACUACUGCGAGCAUUAGUAAGGUACACAUCAAUAACAUGUAUAUCAAAUAUACCUUUCGCUUUGCCAUCCUUCUUUUCCGCCAAAUACUUGGGGCAGUUCCGCUUCCAGUGACCAGCCCUUUGCAGUAGAAGUACUCAGUUUCAGGCUUAGGUCAGGACUUGGGCUUCUUCACUUGAGCAGCAACUGGCUUGCUGUGCUUCUUGAAGUUCCCCUUCCUCCCUUUACCCUUUUUCUUGAAACUGGUGGUCUUGUUGACCAUCAAACAAUUGCUUGGCUUGUCAUCGAGGUUGUGCAUGAUUUAAAUAUUUUGUGUGAUGAAGAUAGAGCAUAGCCAGACUAUAUGAUUUUGUAGGGACAGCUUUCUUUGGCCAUGUUAUUUUGAGAAGACAUGGUUGCUUUGUUGGUAUGCUUGAAGUAUUAUUAUUUUCAUGUCAAUAUUAAACUUUUGUCUUGAAUCUUAUGGAUCUGAAUAUUAAUGCCACAAUAAAGAGAAUUACUUGGAUAAAUAUGUUAGGUAGCAUUCCACAUCAAAAAUUCCGUUUUUACCAUUUACCUACUCGAGGACGAGAAGGAAUUAAGCUUGGGGAUGCUGAUACGUCUGCAACGUAUCUAUAAUUUUUUAUUGUUCCAUGCUAUUAUAUUAUCUGUUUUGGAUGUUUAUGGGCUUUAUUAUACACUUUAAUAUUAUUUUUGGGACUAACAAAUUAACCGGAGGCCCAGCCCAAAUUGCUGUUUUCUUGCCUAUUUCAAUCGAAGAAAAGGAAUAUCAAACAGAGUCCAAACGGAAUGAAACCUUCGGGAGAGUUAUUUUUGGAACAGAAGCAAUCCAGGAGACUUGGAGUAUACGUUAGGGAAGGUUCGAGGUGGCCAUGAGGCAGGGAGGCGCGCCUGCCCCCUAGGCGUGCCCCCACCCUCGUGGGCCCCUCGUGGCUCCCUUGACUGACUUCUUUCACCUAUAUAUAUAGCAACAUACCCUAAAAACACCAGGGAGCAGAAUAGAUCGGGAGUUCUGCCGCCAGAAGCCUCCGUAGCCACCGAAAACCAAUCUAGACCCGUUCCGGCACCCUGCCGGAGGGGGGAAUCCCUCUCCGGUGGCCAUCUUCAUCAUCCCGGCGCUCUCCAUGACGAGGAGGGAGUAGUUCACCCUCGGGGCUGAUGGUAUGUACCAGUAGCUAUGUGUUUGAUCUCUCUCUCUCUCUCUCUCUCGUGUUCUUGAGGUGGUACAAUCUUGAUGUAUCGUGAGCUUUGCUAUUACAGUUGGAUCUUCUGAUGUUUCUCCCCCUCUACUCUCUUGUAAUGGAUUGAGUUUUCCCUUUGAAGUUACCUUAUCGGAUUGAGUCUUUAAGGAUUUGAGAACAAUUGAUGUAUGUCUUGCACGUGCUUAUCUGUGGUGACAAUGUGAUAUCACGUGAUCCACUUGAUGUAUGUUUUGGUGAUCAACUUGCGAGUUUCGUGACCUCGUGAACUUAUGCAUAGGGGUUGGCACACGUUUCUGUCUUGACUCUCUGGUAGAAACUUUGGGGCACUCUUUGAAGUUCUUUGUGUUGGUUGAAUAGAUGAAUCUGAGAUUGUGUGAUGCAUAUCGUAUAAUCAUACCCACAGAUACUUGAGGUGACAUUGGAGUAUCUAGGUGACAUUAGGGUUUUGGUUGAUUUGUGUCUUAAGGUGUUAUUCUAGUACGAACUCUAUGAUAAAUUGAACGGAAAGAAUAGCUUCGUGUUAUUUUACUAUGGACUCUUGAAUAGAUCGAUCAGAAAGGAUAACUUUGAGGUGGUUUCGUACCCUACCAUAAUCUCUUCAUUUGUUCUCCGCUAUUAGUGACUUUGUAGUGACUCUUUGUUGCAUGUUGACGGAUAGUUAUAUGAUCCAAUUAUGUUAUUAUUGUUGAGGGAACUUGCACUAGUGAAAGUAUGAACCCUAGGCCUUGUUUCAACUCAUUGCAAUACCAUUUGUGCUAACUUUUAUCAUUAGUUGCCUUGCUGUUUUUAUAUUUUCAGAUUACAAAAACCUAUAUCUAUCAUCCAUAUUGCACUUGUAUCACCAUAUCUUUGCCGAACUAGUGCACCUAUACAAUUUACUAUUGUACUGGGUGUGUUGGGGACGCAAGAGAUUCUUUGUUAUUUGGUUGCAGGGUUGUUUGACAGAGACCAUCUUCAUCUUACGCCUCCCACGGAUUGAUAAACCUUAGGUCAUCCACUUGAGGGAAAUUUGCUACUGUCCUACAAACCUCUGCACUUGGAGGCCCAACAACGUCUACAAGAAGAAGGUUGUGUAGUAGACAUCAGGAGCCCAUAGAGUUUCCUUUGAUGCACCAACCUGGAGUCUAGGAAAGAGCAUGGCCGCUCACAUUGCCAUGGGACGCAUCGGCGAAGUUUACCACAAGGAUCUUAAGGACACCAUCUACUAGAUAUGUGGAUGCCGAGAUGAGCAAUGGGAGAUGAUCAGCACCAGGAGGGACAAGUCCAUUGCAGCCUACAUCCAGGAGUUAAACCAACAGAUUCAUCAUCGGGAGAACCAUAUGUGCGCCAGCAUGAUGGACCUGAAGAAGGUGAUGACCAGGAACAUGGAGCUAGAAGAGGAACUCAAGUCUACACGCGAUGGAUAUGAAUACGAAAUUGCAGUACUACUGGAGAAGAAUGAAGAUCUGAAGAAGAGGCUAGGAGUAUUCAUGGGAGACCCUGCGCCAGGAGGUGACGGCCAUCCCGAAGACUACAUCAUCAUCGACGACACCGACUCCGACCCCGACAGUGAUGACGACUGUGAAGACGAAGCUGGAGAAGAUAUCAUGGAGUCUUUUUCCAAUCAAAAUUUUUAGUCGACCACCAUAUUAUCAGUAGUAUUCCCCCAUAGUAGUAAUCCGAGUAUUUUGUAACGGUAGCAAGAUCGACUGUAUGCCCUUGUUUGAAUUGAGUGAUGUGAUAUGAUUGUGUUUGUAUCAUGUGCAUAUGAGUAGUGAUUUUCUAAGGUUGAAUCCGCUGGUGUUUUCCAGUAGCACCGAGCUUAUAGUUGCUAAUGACUGGCUCCGCAGGAUUCGAAGGGAUAUAACCACCACAGGUUGCACAGAUGCUAAGAAGGUAUUCUUUUCCACACAACAAUUGGAUGGACCAGCAGCCUCAUGGUGGGAGAAUUACACAACCACUUUUCCCAUAGCCAAUGUCACAUGGGAUCAGUUUUAGCAAGCUUUUCGGUACUACGGGCCCAUGUCUCAACUGGAGCAAUGAGUAUGAAGAAGCGCGAGUUUCGCAACUUACUCCAGGGAAAUCGUACUGUGUGGCAGUAUGUGGAUGAGUUUAGUAGGUUAGCUCGUUAUGCCCCGGACGAUGUGGUCACAGAUGCCGCGAAGCAGAAGAAGUUUAUGGAAGGGCUGAAUGAUGAGCUGAGCAUGCAGUUGAUGGUGGCAACAUUCAAUAACUAGCAGGAUUUGGUAGAUAGGGCCCUUAUGAUUGAAGGCAAGCCGCAACAAAUAGAGAGCCGCAAAAGGAAGUACGGACAAGGAAGUAUAAUUCUGGAGCUCAGCAGAAGCCCUGUUUUAUCCCGAACUCGGGAGGACAGACUCAUUACCAUGGAGGCCAUACCCAUAAUGGAGGGAGUUUGCAUAACCAUUGUGUCCCUAAGAAUAGGAAUGGGAAUGGAGGGAGCAACAGACAUAACCGUUCCAACCCAGCAACACCCGCCAGGAAGGAUCUAAGUCACAUUACUUGUUUCAAGUGCGGGAAGACUGGACACUAUGCCACUGAAUGUCCUGAAGCAAAGAUUGGAAAUGGCAAUGGAAGCUCAGGGAAGAAGCCAAACCCUUUCAUGAGAGGUCAGGUGAACCACAUCAACGUGGAGGAGGUUGAAGAACGGCCUGAUGAAGUGAUCGGUAAGUUUUUGAUUAAGUCAUUUACCGGUCUCGCUCUUUUUGACACUGGUGCAUCACAUUCAUACAUAUCAAGGGUAUUUGUGGACAAGUUUAAGUUGCCAACCUUAGGCCUUAGGUCACCCAUGGUGUGAUCGGCCCUAAUUAUUGGUAGCCACGUUUUCCCCUCAGACCUAAUAAUUUUGGAGUCCCAAGGAUUGGAUAUAAUAUUAGGCAUGGAUUGGUUAUUGAAGUAUGGAGGAAACAUCGAUUGUACUAGUAAGUCAAUUUUACUCACCACCCCGGAGGGAAUGAGGAUCAAGUAGGUGUCUAGGCAUGCGCCAAGGAGGACCCAAGUGAAUUCUCUCUCAGGAGUUGUUCAGGAAGAAGUGCCUGUUGUGAAGGAUUACCUGGAUGUAUUUCCAGAGGAGCUACCAGGCAUGCCGCCAGAUCGAGACAUGGAAUUUUUUGAUAGAGAUCUUGCCACGCACCGGACCAAUAUCAAAGAGACCGUAUCGGAUGCCCGCAAAUGAUCUAGAGGAAAUUAACAAGCAGAUUAAGGAGUUAUUGGAGAAGGGUUAUACCUGACCAAGUUCAUCAUCGUGAGGAGCCCCGGUGCUCUUAGUUGAGAAGAAGGAUGGAUCUUUGAGAAUGGUUGUUGAUUAUCGGGCAUUGAAUGAAGUGAUAAUCAAGAACAAAUACUCACUCCCGAUGAUCAAUGAUCUAUUUGACCAGUUGCAAGGAGCUAAAGUAUUCUCCAAGAUCGACCUUCAAUCAGGAUACCACCAGCUAAAGAUCCGAGAACAUGAUAAACCUAAGACAGCUUUUACCACAAGGUACGGGCUAUAUGAGUACACGGCCAUGUCAUUUGGAUUGACUAAUGCCCCUGCCUAUUUUAUGAGUAUGAUGAACAAGAUGUUCAUGGAGUUUUUGGAUAAGUUUGUUGUGGUGUUCAUUGAUGAUAUUUUGCUGUACUUGAAUAAUGAAGAGGAACACAAGGAACACUUGCACUUAGUUCUCGAGAAGCUCAGAGAACAUCAGCUAUAUGCCAAGUUCAGCAAGUGUGAGUUUUGGUUGAAGGAAGUUGGAUUUCUUGGACAUGUUAUAUCAGGAGAAGGUAUAGCCAUUGAUCCUACGAAGGUUCAGUCUGUCACUGAGUGGUUGGCACCCACCUCAGUUGGAGAGAUCCGCAGGUUUCUAGGACUUGCAGGAUAUUACAGGAGGUUCAUUGAGAAUUUCUCCAAGAUUGCAAAACCCAUGACAGAGUUGUUGAAGAAGGACACCAAGUUCAAAUGGACCGCGGAUUGUGAGGCAAGUUUUCAGGAGUUGAAGAAACGUUUGGUUACAGCCCUAGUGCUGAUUCUUCCGGAUAUACUCGAGGAUUUCCAAGUUUAUUGUGACGCUUCUCAUUUGGAACUUGGAGGUGUACUUAUGCAAAACAGAAUAGUUGUUUCAUAUGCCUCACGGCAGCUUCGACCUCACGAGUUGAAUUAUGCCACACAUGAUUUGGAGUUAGCAGCCGUAGUGCAUGCACUCAAGAUGUGGAGACAUUUUCUGAUUGGAAAUAGAUGUGAUUUGUACACGGAUCACAAUAUUUUGAAGUACAUUUUCUCGCAGAAGGAGUUGAAUCUCAUGUAGAGGAGAUGGUUGGAGCUCAUAAAGAAUUAUGAUAUGAAGUUGCAUUAUCAGCUAGGCAAGGCCAAUGUCUUAGCAGACGCUUUGAGCCGCAAGAGUUAUGCCAAUACGCUCGUAAGCGGAGGAUUACCGCACGAGUUAGUAGAUGAUCUCAAGGAACUUCGUUUGGAGAUAGUUCCAAGAGGUUUCGUUGCAACAAUGGAGGUUCAGUCUACAUUAUUGGGAAAGAUUCAAGGAGCUCAGAAGGAUGAUAAGGAAAUUGCUGAGAUUAAGGAGAAGAUGAGCAAAGGAAAAGCCAAAGAUUUUCGUGAGGAUGAACAUGAGACUUUAUGGUUUGGAGAUCGCGUAUACGUUCCCAAUAAUGCGGAGAUCAGGAAGUUAAUACUUCAGGAAGCUCAUGACUCGCCAUACUUGAUUCACCCCAGAAACACCAAGAUGUAUUUGGAUUUGAAGGAGCGUUUCUGGUGGACAGGUAUGAAGAAGGAUAUUGCCAAGUAUGUAGCAGUAUGCGAUGUGUGUCAGAGAGUGAAGGCAGAGCAUCAGAAGCCAGCUGGAUUAUUACAGCCCAUGACGAUACCCGAUUGCAAGUGGGACAAGAUUGGCAUGGAUUUCAUCACCGGAUUUCCCAGGACCUGAUCAGGAUAUGAUUCCAUCUGGGUAGUAGUUGAUCACCUGACCAAGGUAGCUCACUUUAUCCCAUUGAAAUCCACCUAUACAAGCGCGUAGUUGGCCAAGAUAUAUAUGACCAGGAUCGUAUGUCUGCAUGGAGUUCCGAGGACCAUCGUAUCAGAUAGAGGGACACAGUUUAGCUCGAAGUUUUGGAAUCAAUUGCACCAGACUUUGGGUACUAGGCUGGAGUUCAAUAUAGCCUUUCAUCCGCAGACAGAUGGACAGACCGAGAGAUUCAAUCAGAUUCUAGAGGACAUGUUGAGAGCUUGUGCGCUAGAUUAUAGAUCUGGUUGGGAUGAUAAUUUACCUUACGCUGAGUUCUCAUAUAACAACAGUUAUCAGGAUAGUUUGAUGAUGUCACCUUUUGAAGCCUUGUAUGGAAGGAGAUGCAGGACACCAUUAAUGUGGGAUGAAGUUGGAGACCAUUAGUUGUUUGGACGGGAUUUUAUCAAAGAGUCCGAAUAGAAGGUUAAGUUGAUUCGAGAUAGACUGAAGGUAGUUCAGUCCAUGCAGAAGAGUUAUGCCGACACUAAACGCAAGGAUGUAGUCUAUGAAAAAGGAGAUAGAGCAUAUCUUCGUGUGUUGCCACUCCGAGGAGUUAAAAGAUUUGGAGUUAAGGGAAAGUUAGCCCCGAGAUUUGUAGAACCAUACCGAGUUCUGGAACGUAUGGGAGAGGUUGCCUACAAAUUGGAGUUACCCGAAGGAUUGUCAGGAGUUCAAGAUGUGUUUCACGUUUCCCAGUUGAAGAAGUGCCAUGCUGAGAUGGCCGAUAUUCCCCUAAGAGAUACAGUGCCUCUGGAAGCAAUUCAGUUGGAGAGUGAUCUAAACUACGAGGAGAAACCUGUCAAGAUUCUUGAGUUUGCCAGCCGAGUUACCCGCAACAAUGUUAUCAAGUUUUGCAAAGUUCAGUGGAGCCACCAUACCGAGGAUGAAGCCACCUGGGAGCGAGAAGAAGACCUACGGAAAGACCACCCACACCUAUUUUCUAGCCCACCCGAAUCUUGAGGGCAAGAUUCAUCUUAAGGAGGGUAGGUUUGUAACAUCCCAAUUUUCAAUUUGGAUGUUAUACAUAGGUCAUCAUAUGCAUAUCAUAUUUUAUUUUCAUAUUUGGUUGUGAUCCUAGAAAUCUUAAGCAACUCAAGGACCCAAGGAGAGAGUUGGAGAUUUCAUAUAUUUUCAUAUUUGAGUUUUUCUCAAAUUUGAAAAGAGGAUCCAUUUGGUUUUAAUAUUUUUCUCUCUAAUUAUUUCCAAUAUUUAAAUUAAAAGAGAGAAGAUAAUAUGACUUCUUCAAAAAGAGAGGAAUAUUGGAGGAGAAAUUUUAAAAUCAAAUUUAUAUUUUAUUUGGUUUUUAUUUGAUAUUUUGUUUGAAUUAGAAAAGUAUGCAUUUUUGGAAAUUGCAAUUUUAGCCAAGAAAAAUGUUCACUUCGUUCUAAAUAAUAGGUUUAGACGGAGAAAAUUGUUUUGGCAUUUUUUUAGAAUUUUUUUUAUAUUUUAUUAGGAUUUUAUUCGGGCGGAAUUUUAUUUAAAAAAUCCUUCCCUCGCCCAACUGGGCCGAAGGCCUAGCCGAGCGGCCCAGCAGCCCACCUCGCCGCCGCCUUCCUCUUGCGCGGGGAGGAGACCCGCCGCCGCAUGCCACCGAGGGGAGUCCGAGCCGGACUCCACCCCGCGCCGCCCCCUCGCCCAAGGCUGACCCCCUGGCCUUUAUAGCCAUUGCCGCCGCCUCCUCCCUCACCCCGAGCUAACGCACCACCGUCGUCGAGCCGCGCCGUUGCCUCCUUUGCACCACCGAGCCGUGCCGCUGCCGCCAGCUGCUGCCGCGCCGCCUCACCCGUGCCGCCGCCUUUCCUCGUCUAUGAUGGAGCUAUUGUGUUCGAGCCCUCGAGGCCCCUGGCUUAUAAUAUGAUGCUUGUAUGACUUAUUUUAUUUGUAGAGUUGUGUUGUGAUAUCUUCCCGUGAGUCCCUGAUCUUGAUCGUACACAUUGCGUGUAUGAUUAGUGUACGGUCAAAUCGGGGGCGUCACAAUAUGCCUCCAAGACAUGACCCCGUAUUUGUUUUCCCACCGGAGCUCACCCAGUUGAUCCAGCAGCAGAAUGCCUUGAUGCAGCUACUAGUCCAGAACCAAGGCAACAACAACAACAACAACAACAACAAUAACAACCCACCGCCACCACCUCCAGUAGACAAAUUAGCCUAUUUUCCGAGGUUGAAUCCGCCGGUGUUUUCCAGUAGCACCGAGCCAAUAGUUGCUGAUGACUGGCUCCGCAGGAUUCGAAGGGAGCUGACAAUCGCAGGUUGCACAUAUGCUAAGAAUGUGCGCUUUGCCACACAUCAAUUGGAUGGACCAGCAGCCUCAUGGUGGGAUAAUUACACAACCACUUUUCCCAUAGCCAAUGUCACAUGGGAUCAGUUUCAGCAAGCUUUCCGUACCGCCCAUGUCUCAACUGGAGCAAUGAGUAUGAAGAAGUGUGAGUUUCGCAACUUACACCAGGGAAAUCAUACUAUGGCGUAGUACGUGGAUGAGUUUAGUAAGUUAGCUUGUUAUGCCCCGGACGAUGUGGCCACAGAUGCCGCGAAGCAGGAGAAGUUUAUGGAAGGGCUGAAUGAUGAGCUAAGCAUGCAGUUGAUGGUGGCAACAUUUAAUAACUACAAGGAUUUGGUAGAUAGGGCCCUUAUGAUUGAAGUCAAGCAACAAUAGAUAGAGAGUCGCAAAAGGAAGCAUGGACAAGGGAAGUAUAAUUCUGGAGCUCAGCAGAAGCCCCGUUUUACCCCGAACUUGGGAGGACAGACUCAUAACCAUGGAGGCCAUACCCAUAAUGGAGGUAGUUCGCAUAACCACAGUUGCCCUAAGAAUGGGAAUGGGAACGGAGGAAGCAACGGACAUAACCGUUCCAACCCAGCAACACCCGCCAGGAAGGAUCUAAGUCACAUUACUUGUUUCAAGUACGGGAAGACUAGACACUACGCCCUGAAGCAAAGAAUGGAAAUGGCAAUGGAAGCUCAGGGAAGAAGCCAAACCCUUUCACCAGAGGUCAAGUGAACCACAUCAACGUGGAGGAGGUUGAAGAACAGCCUGAUGAAGUGAUCAAUAAGUUUUUGAUUAAGUCAUUUAUCGCUCUCGUUCUUUUUGAUACUGGUGCAUCGCAUUCAUAUAUAUCAAAGGGAUUUGUGGACAAGUUUAAGUUGCCAACCUUAGCCCUUACGUCACCCAUGUUAGUAAUCUCGCCAUGAGCAGAGUAUAUGGCCAGCCGAUGGUGUGAUCGGUUAACCCUAACCAUUGGUAGCCAUGUUUUCCCCUUAGACCUAAUAAUUUUCGAGUCCCAAGGACUGGAUAUAAUAUUAGGCAUGGAUUGGUUAUCGAAGUAUGGAGGAAACAUCGAUUGUGCUAGUAAGAAUUUUAUUCACCACCCCGGAGUGAAAGAGGAUCAAGUAUAUGUCUAGGCAUGCGCCAAGGAGGACCCAAGUGAAUUCUCUCUCGGGAGUUGUUCAGGAAGAAGUGCCUAUUGUGAAUGAUUACUCGGAUGUAUUUCCAAAGGAGCUACCAGGCAUCUCGCCGGAUCGAGACAUGGAAUUUUUGAUAAAGUUGUUGCCAGGCACCGGACCAAUAUCAAAGAGACCGUAUUGGAUGCCCGAAAAUGAUCUAGAGGAAAUUAAGAAGAAGAUUAAUGAGUUAUUGGAGAAGGGUUAUAUCUGACCAAGUUCAUCACCGUGGGGAGCCCCGGUGCUCUUAGUUAAGAAGAAGGAUGGAUCUUUGAGAAUGGUUGUUGAUUAUCGGGCAUUGAAUGAAGUGACGAUCAAGAAGAAAUACCCACUUCCGAUGAUCAAUGAUCUAUUUGACCAGUUCCAAGGAGCUAAAGUAUUCUCCAAGAUCGAUCUUCGAUCAGGAUACCAUCAGCUGAAGAUUCGAGAACAGGAUAUACCUAAGACAGCUUUUACCACAAGGUACGGGCUAUAUGAGUACACGGUCAAGUCAUUUGGACUGACUAAUUCCCCUCCCUAUUUUAUGAGUAUGAUGAACAAGGUGUUCAUGGAGUUUUUGGAUAAGUUUUUUGUGGUGUUCAUUGAUGAUAUUUUGGUGUACUCGAAUAAUGAAUAGGAACACAAGGAACACUUGCGCUUAGUUCUCGAGAAGCUCAGAGAACAUCAGCUAUAUGCCAAGUUUAGCAAGUGUGAGUUUUGGUUGAAGGAAGUUGGAUUUCUUGGACAUGUUAUAUCAGGAGAAGGUAUAGCCAUUGAUCCUACAAAGGUUCAGUCUGUCACUAAGUGGUUGGCACCCACCUUAGUUGGAGAGAUCCGCAGUUUUCUGGAACUUGCAGGAUAUUACAGGAGGUUCUUUGAGAAACCCAUGACAGAGUUGUCAAAGAAGGACACCAAGUUCAAAUGGACCGAAGAUUGUGAGGCCAGUUUUCAGGAGUUGAAGAAACGUUUGGUUACAACCCCAGUGCUGAUUCUUCCGGAUAUACGAAAGGAUUUCCAAGUUUAUUGCAAUGCUUCUCGUUUGGGACAUGGAGGUGUACUUAUGCAAGACGGAAGAGUUGUUUCAUAUGCCUCAGGCAGCUUCGACCUCACGAGUUGAAUUAUGCCACACAUGAUUUGGAGUUAGCAGUCGUAGUGCAUGCGCUCAAGACCUGGAGACAUUUUCUGAUUGGAAAUAUAUGUGAUGUGGACACGGAUCACAAGAUUUUGAAGUACAUUUUCACGCAGAAGGAGUUGAAUCUCAUGCAAAGGAGAUGGUUGGAGCUCAUAAAGGAUUACAAUAUGAAGUUGCAUUAUCAUCUAGGAAAGGCCAAUGUCGUAGCCGACGCUUUGAGCCGCACUUGUAAGCGCAGGAUUACCGCAGGAGUUAGUAGAUGAUCUCAAGGAACUUCAUUUGCAAAUAGUUCCAAGAGGCUUUGUUGCAACAAUGGAGGUUCAGUCUACAUUAUUGGGAAAGAUUCGAUGAGCUCAGAAGGUUGAUAGGGAGAUUGUUGAGAUUAAGGAGAAGAUGAGCAAAGGAAAAGCCAAAGGUUUUCGUGAGGAUGAACACGAGACUUUAUGGUUUGAGGAUCGUGUAUACGUGCCCAAUAAUGCGGAGAUCAGGAUGUUAAUACUUCAGGAAGCUCAUGGCUCGCCAUACUCAAUUCACCCUGGAAACACCAAGAUGUAUUUGGAUUUGAAGGAGCGUUUCUGGUGGACAGGCAAGAAGAAGGAUAUUGCCGAGUAUGUAGCAGUAUGUGACGUAUGUCAGAGAGUGAAGGCAGAGCAUCAGAAGCCAGCCGGAUUAUUACAGCCCAUGCCAAUACCCGAUUGGAAGUGGGACAAGCUUGGCAUGGAUUUCAUCACCGGAUUACCUAGGACCCGAUCAGGAUAUGAUUCCAUCUAGGUAGUAGUUGAUUGCCUGACCAAGGUAGCUCACUUUAUCGCAGUGAAAACCACCUAUACAAGCGCGUAGUUGGCCAAGAUAUAUACGACCUGGAUCAUAUGUCUGCAUGGAGUUUCGAGGACCAUCGUAUCAGAUAUGGGGACACAGUUGACCAUGAAGUUUUGGAAUCAAUUGCACCAGACUUUGGGUACUAUGCUGGAGUUCAGUAUAGCCUUUCAUCCGCAGACAGAUGGACGGACCGAGAGAUUUAAUCGGAUUCUGGAGGACAUGUUGAGAGCAUGUGCGCUAGAUUAUGGAUCUAGUUGGGAUGAUAAUUUACCUUACGCAGAGUUCUCAUAUAACAAUAGUUAUCAGGCUAGUUUGAUGAUAGCACCUUUUGAAGCCUUGUAUGGAAGGAGAUGGAGGACACCAUUAAUGUGGGUUGAAGUUGGAGACCGUCAGUUGUUUGGACCGGAUUUCAUCAAAGAGUCCGAAGAGAAGGUUAAGUUGAUUCGAGAUAGACUGAAGGUAGCUCAGUCCAGGCAGAAGAGUUAUGCCGACACUAAACGCAAGGAGGUAGUCUAUGAAAUAGGAGACAGAGCAUAUCUUCGCGUGUUGCCACUCCGAAGAGUUAAAAGAUUUGGAGUUAAGGGAAAGUUAGCCCCGAGAUUUGUAGAACCAUACCAAGUUCUGGAACGUAUGGGAGAGGUUGCCUACAAAUUGGAGUUACCCGAAGGAUUGUCAGGAGUUCACGAUGUGUUUCACAUUUCCCAAUUGAAGAAGUGCCAUGCUGAGAUGGGCGAUAUUCCCCUAAGAGAUAAAGUGCCUCUUGAAGCAAUUUAGUUGUAGAGUUAUCUAACAUACGAGGAGAAACCCGUCAAGAUUCUUGAGUUUGCAAGCCGAGUUACCCGCACCAAGGUUAUCAAGUUUUGUAAAGUUCAGUGGAGCCACCAUACCGAGGAUGAAGCCACCUGGGAGCGAGAAGAAGACCUACAGAAAGACCACACACACCUAUUUUCUAGCCAACCCGAAUCUCGAGGGAAAGAUUCAUCUUAAGGAGGGUAGGUUUGUAACAUCCCAAUUUGCAAUUCGGAUGUUAUACAUAGGUCAUCAUAUGCAUAUCAUAUUUUAUUUGCAUAUUUGGUUGUGAUCCUAGAAAUCUUAAGCAACUCAAGGACCCAAGGAGAGAGUUGGGGAUUUCAUACAUUUUCAUAUUUGAGUUUUUCUCAAAUUUGAAAAGAGGAUCCAUUUGGUUUUAAUAAUUUUCUCUCUAAUUAUUUCCAAUAUUUAAAUUAAAAUAGAGAAGAUAAUAUGACUUCUUCAAAAAGAGAGGAAUACUGGAGGAGAAAUUUUAAAAUCAAAUUUAUAUUUUAUUUGGUUUUUAUUUGAUAUUUUAUUUGAAUUAGAAAAAUAUGCAUUUUUGGAAAUUGCAUUUUAAGCCAGAAAAAUGCUCACUUCGUUAUAAAUAAUAGGUUUAGACGGUGAAAAUUGUUUUUGGCAUUUUUAGAACUUUUUUAUAUUUUAUAAGGAUUUUAUUCGGGCAGAAUUUUAUUUUAAAAAAUCCUUCCCUCGCCCAACUGGGCCGAAGGCCCAGCCGACCGGUCCAGCAGCCCACAUCGCCGCCGCCUUCCUCCCGCGCGGGGACGAGACCCGCCGCCGCAUGCCGCUGAGGGGAGUCCGAGCCGGACUCCACCCCGCGCCGCCCCCUCGCCCAAGGCCGACCCCCCUAGCCUUUAUAACCACCGCCGCCGCCGCUUCCUCCCUCACCCCUAGCCGCCGCACCACCGCCACCAAGCCGCGUCGUCGCCGCCUUUGCGCCACCGAGCCGCGCCGCCUCGCCCGUGCAGCCGCCUUUCCUCGCCGCCCGCCGGAGUCUGCCGCCGCCGUUUCGUCGUUGCCGAGAAACGGUACAAACCGCCCCGGUUCACCGGUUUAUUUUUGGUUUUUUUCGGUUCUCGGUUUAGAUCGGUUUAAGGUUAGGCUUUUCUCGGUUUUUUCCAAAUGAAUCUAUUUAGGGAACGUUCUUUGUUCUGUUCAUUUUAAUGAACAUGUUCAGUCGUUUGUCCCGACAGUGAACGUUCGUUCGAUAGCCUUUUUCUUUUAUUCUAUUUUCGGCCAGGGACCUAUCUGCGAUUAUUUUUAUCGCAGAUUAGCCCAUGAUCUUCAAGCCCUCACCACUUUUUGCUCGCUCGUCCAAAUCCAGUGAAACCAACGCCAAAAUAUUCGUCUUGUUCCCCUCUUUCUAGUUAGCCAACUUGAAUAUGGAUUUAAAAUUUUAAAAUUUGGUUGCAAGCAGAUUUGAAUUCGAACUUCUUUUGAUCGUAGUUUGAGUUUCGUAGCUCCGAUUUGGUUGAUUCUUUUUGCAAAUGAAAGCUCUUCAGUUGAACUUUCAAUUUGUAUAUUUCUCUUGAGUUUUACCCUUGCAUCUAUUGCUUGAGUGUUUAUGUAUGUUAUUGUUUGUUUGCGACAGAGUUUCCGGAGUGUGAAGCGUGCUACUACGAGUCACUAGGGUUUUCAUAUCGUCAGCAAGGCAAGUAACACUUUGAUCAUACCCCUUAUUACCCAGUUUUUAUGCAUUAUUUCAAUCCUCAAACACUGCAUGGUUAGGACUUGAAUAUUUGUGGGUACUGGGAAGUAGUUAUGAGGUAGUACCUAUUGUCUUUAUUUCAAACCCUGGAAGUUACUUCUACGUUGUGCUUAUACUGCUAUGCUAUGCUCGUAGACGUGGUUUGGUUUGAGUGAUCCAUGACAGAUGUGAGAGUUUUAAUUAAUGGUUAAACUUAAGGUGGCUACUUUAAUACACAUCUAGGUGGAUUGGUUGAGGCAACCAGGAACACCCAGUGGUUGUCUGGGCACCUGGAGCAAUCCAGUUUUGUCCUGGGAUAUCCCGGAGUACCCGUGUGAUCAUCCUACGGUUUGCCACCCAGGCUCGAAGGGAUCAUAAGAUUAUACAUGCUGGAAACUUACGUGUGCAACCACAAGCCAUUAUGGGCUCUGUCAUAGUUGAGUAAGUUGUGUGACCUCUUUCAAUGGUAUGCUAGCAGAUGUAGGGGAUGUAGGUGGUACUGUCUACCCAGAGUAAAUAGUUAAUGCUUCUGAAAGACUGUGUCUUGGUCAUCUGUUUCUCAAACAUCAUGUAGUGUGAGAAAUACAACGGAGGAGAUCGAGUCUUGUGGUGAAAAGUACGCAAACCUCUGCAGAGUGUAUAAACUAAUCAUGGUUAGCCGUGUCCCGGUUAUGGACAUCUUGAGUAUCUGGUACUUGAAUUAUUGAUUUGAUCUCAUCACUCUAUUAAUUAAUUUGUUGGGUUGAUGACUAUAUAAUUUGGGAUUGACUUGGAGGAACCUUCUCAAUGUUUACCACAAAUUUUGUAGUUAAAUAAAAUAUAUUCCUUUGGUGUAGGGAAAAAUUAGCUUUCUGCAAAAAUAACCAUAGAGCCUCCACUAGCCAAGUAUGCAUAUAGUUAUAGCUGCUACAUGUUCAUUGCUCUAUAGUGUUAUUUUUCCAGCAUAUUCCAUGUGCUGACCCAUUUCGGGCUGCAACGUAUUAUGUUGCAGACAUUUCAGACGAAGAGUAAGGUGCGCUAGGUCGUUGUCGUGCACUCAGCAAUGCCGUCGGAGUUGAUGGACUCAUUUUACCUUUGAAGCGUCUGAUGUUAUCUUCAUUAGAUGGCCUUCAGCUGUAUUAUUGCAAUAAGUACUCUCUUUUGAGAUAUUCGAUGUAAUAAGUGUGUGAUUGAACUCUGUUAUAAAUCCUUCAAGUACUGUGUGUGUGUGUCAGCAUUACCGAUCCUGGGAUGACACUUAUACGCAGAUAUUUGACCGCUUGAGGUCGAAUCGCUACAGCCAAGCCAGGCCGAUCAGUUCGUGUCGGGCUUUUUCGGGCUUGAGCCAGGCUUGGGCUGUAUUUAGUAGGCCUGACGGUCAGGCUGAGCCAGGUUCGGGCCUGGGUUUUCAGCACCGGCCGUGGUGGAAAGUAGGGGCGGGGCGGUGGGGGGAGGGGCCGGAUCUGGUGGCUUGGGUGACAGGGGCGAUAGGUGGCAAGGAGCGUGGGUGGACUGCCGGAGAUGAAGAAGAUGGCGGGGAUUUGGGGUGCGGCUGCGAGGAUCUGUGGGGACUGGGGCUUGGGGCCGACCGUGCGGGGAAGAGAGUAAGAUCGUGGGUGGAGUGGGUCAGGUGGGGUGGUCUUUAUCUUUCUUUCUUUGGUGCGCCUCAGGGUCGGUUCGGUGGGUGUGUGUGCAGAAUAAGGUUUCUGUUGUUAGAAUAAGGUCUUAAGGGGUGUUGUUCGAAUAGACCCACUCAAUUUAUAUGGCUUGUUCCCUAUAAUGACUACGAUGAGGGAUAUUCUAUGGCUUGUUUCAUAGUGUUGUGGGACUUCCAAAUUUUUUUUUAAUUUCUCAUUAUUUGACGUGAUAAUGAUGAUUUAUUUUUCUGUGUCGUCGCAAUAAAAUGAUUUUAGUGACACAAUGGAAAAAAUAUGCUAAAUCAAAAAUUAUAAAUAGCUUAUUAUUAAUUUAAUUGUAUGAACUGAAUCAGGUUUCACACAAACAAUAUAAGCAUUCACCUUCACGCAAUAUUUCUAGUACAUAUAUAAACUCAUUUCAUGGUAGUUCUCAGUUCUUUCUGCAGCAGCAUGUGCUACUACUGCCUUCAACACAACUGCUCUUAUCCUUGUCAUAACCUCGGUUAAUACAGUUAGCUUUGCACGCAAUGUUGCCACUAGCUCGGUCUGGUGGCGAACAAUAGUCCACAGUUGUACACAGGUCAGUAUCUGUGCACAA